This 53001-nucleotide long non-coding RNA is filed under the name Coffea arabica (coffee). The record is from RNAcentral. Lineage: Eukaryota; Viridiplantae; Streptophyta; Magnoliopsida; Gentianales; Rubiaceae.
UUCUUUUCUCUCUUCCUCUUUCUCCCCCUUCUUCUUUCUCUCUCUUCUCCCCUUCCCUUCCUUCCUUCUCCCUCCUUUCCUCCCCUCCCUUCCCUUUUCCCACCGGCACCUUUCCCCUCCCCCUCCCUCUCCCCCUCCAUGACUGGUCACAACCAAAGGGCCACUGUUGGAUCCUUAAUCCAACAUUGGACUUAUAUGUGAAUAAUUAUGUGUUGCAAACUGUCAAUUAAGAUUAAACCCAAUUAAAGUGAUCAAAUAUAGUUUGGGUUUAAUGUAUCUAAUAGGGUGUGGGCCUUUAAUGUGUAGAGACUUAAGGGUUCCUAUUUCUAUGAUGGGCUGAAAUAGGGUUCCAAAGGAUAACAAGAAUGUUACCUAUAAAUAGGGUUAUGGUCCCCAGGUCACAGGUAUCGUUUAGUUGUCGUAUUUCGUAAUACCAUAAAAUAACUCUUCCCUAAUAUCCCAUCGUCAAGAAAGAUACCAGAGAGAAACUAAAGGCCUCUCUCAAAGGAUCGGUGAAUACCUGUUGACCUGGAAGGCCAACCCCAAAAUCUCUAGGGAUUCAAGUAUCAAGUUUAUCAAUAUGGAUUCAGGUACGCUUCCGCUAUUUUAUCGUUUAUUUAUUUCUUAAUAAUCACCAUAUAGAUCUUGGGUUUAACAGGUGAUGGUUUUCACCAAAGGUUAAAUUUAGAUAACCACCCUAACAAGUGGUAUCAGAGCCCAUAUGGUUGAUUAUUAUGAAAUAAUUUGAAUUUAGUAAUUUAUAGUAAUUUUGCAUGGCUGAAAUUUGCAAGUUUUGGUAAUUUGCUGUGUAAAUUCAGUCAUAGUAAAAUUUACACGGCUGAUUUAGUAAUUAUUUAGUAAUUUGCAAACCUUGGUUGCUGAUGGCUUUAUAAUUGCAUGCCUUUUGUUUUUAGCCUCUGACUCAUAACAAAAAAAAAAAAAAAGGCAAUUCAUGGGUUCCACCAACAAGUCUUCAUAAGGUUUCCAUGGUUUUGGUCUUGAUUCACGGCAACUUUUCAAUUCGGUCAACUUUUCAAUUCGUGGGUUCCACCAACAAGUCUUCAUAUGUUAGUCAAAUACUAUUCUGGUCAUGAUUGUUUGCAUAUGUUCAUGGCAGUGGUUAAUUCGUGGAUUGUACUGUCCAUUGUUUUGGCCAAUCUAUUGGUUCUUUAUGCGAUAUUUGUUAGCCGAUUGUUUACUUCGGCUUUGUUUGAAAUUAUGACUAAUUGGCACGUGUUUCAAGAAUCAAGUUUACUUGGCCCGAUUAAUUGUUUAUUUUGUUUAUAUCACUUGAAUCCAUUUAUGGGUAUGCUUUUGAUUAUAAAAUUAGGACAAUUAACUUGAAUUUUUGACUUGAUUCCUUGUUUAAGAAUAGAUUUCUAUAUAUAUUUAUGUUAAGAAAAUUAGGGUUUCUUUAAUUUAAGUGAACCCUAAUAAAGCUAAUAAGAUAUUUAAACCCUACAAAGUCCAUAUGUUUGGCCCACUAUACAUAUAGUUUUAUAAAGUAUUUAUGGACUUCAAAAAAAAAAAAUUGGGCUUGAAUAAUAAACUGGGUCAAAUUAUGGAUAUGGACCUUUGGUUCAAUAAGUUUUGAUCCAAUUGAUUGGUUUGAUCAGAGUUAACUAAAGUUGACUUUGAUCAAAAUUUGUUAAAUUUGUAUAAUUUUAAAUUUGAAUAUUGGUAUGAUUAUAUAUAUUUUGAAAUAAAUUAAUUGAAAUAAUAUGCCACCAAAGUAACCUCUAUUAUGAAAAUUAAUUUAUUUUAGAAUAUAACUAGUUGAGUACUUGUAAUUUUAUGAAUAUUGAUCGGCCCAAAGAAAGGUCCAUAUGUAAUAAAAUUACAUGUGCACUUGUGAUAAUAAAUACGUGAUAAUUAUUUGAAUUUUACAUGUGAUUUAUAAAUUGGCCCAAGGAAAAAUUUAUUUUUCGACAUGUUAUUAUUAUCAGUAUUUAUUACUGCACCAAGAUAUCAUUUAGAAAUUAAUAUUUUUGUCCAAAGACAAAAUAUUAAUGGAAUAUCGAUAUCUUGAGAUGUGGUUACCUUUAUUUAAAUUUAUUAUUUUUUUGGUUUAUGUGAGAUUGUUUUAAUUAUUUUAUGUUUUCUGUUCAAUUGCGAAUGAUCUUACGAAUAUUACUUCCAACAUCAAUAAUAUUCCUAUACUGAAUGACACAAACUUCAAGUCCUGGAAAGAAAAUCUCUUGAUAGUACUUGAAGUAAUGGAUCUCGACCUUGCGUUAAGGAUUGAUUCUCCCCCACCUCUUACAGACUAGAGUACCUCUGAUGAAAAGAAAAAUAAUGAGAGGUGGGAGAGAUCAAAUUGUUUGUGUCUGAUGAUCAUUAAAAAGGUCGUUCCAGAAGCAUUCAGGGGAACAAUGUCAGAAACGACUGUAAUCGCUAAAGAGUUCCUUCAGGACAUUGAAAAAAGGUUUGUCAAGAACGAAAAGACUGAAAUUAGUACGCUCUUGACACGCCUAGUUUCAAUGAAAUAUAGUGAUAAAGGCAAUAUUAGAGAGUAAAUCAUGGAAAUGUCUCAUCUUGUUUCGAAAUUAAAUGCACUUAAGUUGAAACUCUUUGAAGAGUUACUAGUGCAUUUGAUUUUAAUAUCUCUUCCUACACAGUUUAGCCAGUUUAAGGUGAGUUAUAACUGUCAAAAGGAGAUUUGGUCUCUAAAUGAACUCAUUUUACACUGCGUAGAGGAAGAGCAAAGGUUGAAACAAGAGCAGACAAAAAGUACCCAUCUGGUGUCAACCACUAAUAAUAAAAGUAAGGGACUUAAGAGAAAGAAAGAAAAAGAAACUACAGGUACAGCGCCACAAAAGAAAUCAAAUGAUCAGGGAAAAAAUAGUUGUUUCUUCUAUGGAGUUGAAGGGCAUCAAAAGAAGCAUUGUACCAACUAUCACGCUUGGCGUGCUAAGAAAGGUAUGCAUCUUAAUUUGGUUUGUUCUGAGGUUAAUUUAACUUCGGUGUCUAGACACACAUGGUGGUUAGAUUCUGGUGCAACAGCUCACAUUAGUGUGUCUAUGCAGGGUUGCCUGAAUUGCCGAAAGUCUAAUGAUAAUGAAAGAUAUAUCUACGUGGGCGAUGGCAAAACAGUUCAAGUUGAGACAAUUAGAGUUUUUAGAUUAUUGUUAAAAAUCGGAUUUUAUUUGGAUCUCUAUGAGACAUUUGUUGUACCGUCUUUUAGACGGAAUUUAAUUUCUAUUUCUGCUUUGGACAAAUUUGGUUAUUUUUUGUUCAUUUGGAAAUGAAAAUUUUGAAUUGUUUCAUGAUUCAAAAUUGGUUGGUUCUGGUUCUUUAAUGCAUUACGAUAAUCUAUAUUUAAUUGAUACGAUUGUCUCAUUUAAUGAAUCUCUGCAUUUGAGUACUAGAGUAAUAAAGAAAAAAUUAAUCAAUGAGAAUUCAACUGUAUUAUGGCACAAGAGAUUGGGACAUAUCUCCAAACGGAGAAUAAAAAGACUUAUGUCAAAUGAAAUUCUCGACCCCUUAAACUUUAUAGAUUUUGAUGAUUGCAUUAACUGCAUAAAGGGGAAACAAACCAAUCAAGAGAGAUUUGAAGCCAGUAGGUCCUCAGACGUCUUAGAACUUAUACAUACAGAUAUUUGUGGACUAUUUCCUACAUCUGCUUGAAAUGGUCAACAAUAUUUUAUAACGUUCAUAGACGAUUUUUCAAGAUAUGGCUACAUAUAUCUCAUUUCUGAAAAGUCACAGUCACUGGACGUGUUCAAAACUUUUAAGGCUGAAGUUGAGAAUCAACUCAACAAAAGAAUUAAAAGCGUCAGAUCUGACCGUGGUGGUGAGUACUAUGGUAGAUAUGACGGUUCAGGUGAACAACGUCCAGGACCAUUUGCUAAAUACCUAGAGGAGUGCGGUAUCGUCCCAUAGUACACUAUGCCGGGUUCACCCACUAUGAAUGGUAUAGCUGAAAAACGAAAUAGAACGCUUAAAAACAUGGUAAGGAGUAUGAUAUGUCAUUCUACCUUACCAGAGUCACUCUGGGGUGAAGCACUUAAGACUGCAGCAUAUAUCCUUAAUAGAGUUCCAACUAAAACAACUAUCAAAAUCCCUUAUGAGUUUUGGACAGGGAAAAAGCCCAGUUUAAAGCAUAUGCAUGUUUGGGGGUGUCCAACUGAGGCAAGGUCUUACAGGUCAAAUGAAAAGAAAUUGGAUUCAAAAAUAAUUAGUUGUUAUUUUAUUGGAUACUCUGAAAGAUCCAGAGGUUACAAGUUUUAUGAUCCCACAACUAAAUCAAUUUUUGAAACAAAAAAUGCCCGAUUCUUUGAGGAUGUCGAGUUUGGGGGAGAAAAUACAGUAAGAGACAUUAUCUUUAAAGAAAAAUAUAUUAAUAUUUCCACAAGUGUCAUUGAUCUUGUUCUGGAUCCUAUUCCUGAACAAGAUCAUGACAUAACAAAUCAAGAUAAUAUCAAAGAACAAACUGUUAUAGAAGUUCAAACUCUCAUUCUCCAAGAACCAGUGCCAUUAAGAAGAUCCACUGGAGAAAGGAGAAGUACAGUGUCAGAUGAUUACAUUAUUUUUCUCCAAGAACGUGAGGAUGACAUUGGAUUGAUGAAAGAUGAUCCAAUCAACUUCCGUCAAGCCAUGGAAAGUUCAAAUUCUCAAAAGUGGAUCGAUGCCAUGAAUGAGGAGAUUAAAUCCAUGAAGGACAAUGAUGUUUGGGAUCUUGUCCCAUUGCCAGAAGGUGCGAAAUUCAUUGGUUGUAAAUGGAUAUUUAAAAUCAAGAGGGAUUCGAAAGGUAAUGUGGAAAGAUACAAAAUUCGUCUUGUCGCUAAGGAAUUUACACAAAAGGAAGGUAUCGACUAUAAAGAAACCUUCUCUCCGGUCUCUUCAAAGGAUUCUUUUAGAAUUAUCAUGGUACUAGUGACGCAUUUCGAUCUUGAGUUACAUCAGAUGGAUAUAAAGACAGUGUUUCUCAAUGGUAAUAUUGAUGAGACGAUUUAUUUGGUGCAACCAGAAAACUUUGUAUCAGGAGAUCCAAAGAAUAUGGUUUGUAAAUUUAAAAAAUCCAAUCUAUGGGUUCAAACAAGCGUCUCGACAAUGGUAUUUCAAAUUUCAUCAAGUGAUCAUUUCAUUUGGUUUUGAGAUGAAUUUAGUAGAUGAUUGCAUAUACCAUAAGUUCUGUAGGAGCAAGUAUAUUUUUCUGAUAUUGUAUUUUGAUGACAUUUUGCUUGUCAGCAACGAUAUGGGUCUAUUGCAUGAAACCAAGAAAUUUCUGACUAAAAAUUUUGAGAUGAAAGAUCUUGGUGAUGCAUCUUUUGUACUAGGUAUACAAAUACACCGAGAUCGAUUUCAGGGUAUUUUAGAACUAUUACAAAAGAGCUAUAUCGAAAAGAUUCUUAAAAGGUAUGGCAUGCAAAAUUAUAUAUCAGGUGACAUCCCUAUGGCUAAAGGAAACAAAUUUAGUCUUGAGUAGUGUCCCAAGAAUGCUUUUAAGGAAAAAGAGAUGCAAAAGAUUUCUUAUGCGUCAGCAGUAGGGAGUCUAAUGUAUGCUCAAAUAUGUACGCAUCCGAAUAUUACGUACAUUACUGAAAUGUUGGGUAGAUAUUUGAGUAAUCUCGGAUUUGAUCAUUAGAAAGCAACCAAACGGGUCUUACGAUAUCUACAGAAAACAAAGGAUUACAUACUCACGUAUCGGAAGUCAGAUGAGUUAGAGAUCAUUGGGUAUACUGAUUCCGAUUAUGCUGGAUGCAAAGAUACUAUGAAGUCAACGUCAGGCUAUGUUUACUUGUUGGCUGGAGGUGUCAUAUCCUGGAAGAGUGCUAAACAGUCCCUCAUAUCAUCUUCCACUAUGGCUGCAGAGUUUAUAGCUUGUUAUGAGGCAUCCAACCAAGAAAUUUGGUUGUAAAAUUCUGUCACAGGAUUACGUGUAGUGGAUAGCAUUGAAAGACCACUCAAAUUAUUUUGUAACAACAAGUCAGCAGUACUAUAUUCUAAUAACAACAGGAACUCUACAAAAUCUAAACAUAUACAUAUCAAGCUCCUGUCUGUUAAAGAAAGAGUACAGAGUGGACAGUUAUCGAUAGAGCAUAUCGGGACAAACUCCACGGUUGCGGAUCCGCUUACUAAGGGAUUGCCACCUAAAAUGUUUCAUGAGCAUACUGUUCGUAUGGGUGUCAUAUUGAUAAAUGAUGUACAGUUUUAGUAGAAAUUUGAUAUUUUAAAUGCUCUUAUGAUACGUUUCGAUUAUUAAUGAUCUAAAGAUAUUUUAUGCAUAAAUAAAGUUUGGAUUUAUUUGUACUCUGACUUUGGUAUGGUUUGAUCUCAUGGAAAUUUAAGAUGGAUCAGUUGAAAAUAGGCAUGUUUUGAUCACAUUACAUGAAAUUUUCAUGCUACACAUCCAUAUCAUAAUUCAUGUCAUUCAAUUAUAUCAAUGUAUGUGACCAUUGAUGGGUCAGGUUACGAAAUUGUAACAAAGGCCGCUUUGAUCCUAUGUUGGUAUGAUUGAUGGAUCAAAUUGGUUACAGAUACAUUGUGAUAAUGACAGUAAAGUUGAGCUCAUACGGUUAAUUGCGAAACAUAAUUAUAAGGUUACACAUAUAGUCCAAGUGGGAGAUUGUUGGAUCCUUAAUCCAACAUUGGACUUAUAUGUGAAUAAUUAUGUGUUGCAAACUGUCAAUUAAGAUUAAGCUCAAUUAAAGUGAUCAAAUAUAGUUUGGAUUUAAUGUAUCUAAUAGGGUGUGGGCCUUUAAUGUGUAGAGACCUAAGAAUUCCUAUUUCUAUGAUGGGUUGAAAUAGAGUUCCAAAAGGUAACAGGAAUGUUACCUAUAAAUUGGGUUAUGGUCCUCAGGUCACAGGUAUCGUUUAGUUAUCAUAUUUCCUAAUACCAAAAAAUAACUCUUUCCUGAUAUCCCAUCGUCAGGAAAGAUACCAGAGAGAAACUAAAGGUCUCUCUCAAAAGAUCGGUGAAUACCUGUUGACCUGGAAGGCCAACCCCAAAAUCUCUAGGGAUUCAAGUAUCAAGUUUAUCAAUAUGGAUUCAGGUAUGCUUACGCUAUUUUAUCGUUUAUUUAUUUUUUAAUAAUCACCAUAUAAAUCUUGGGUUUAACAGGUGAUGAUUUUCACCAAAAGUUAAAUUUAGAUAACCACCCUAACAGCCACAACCAGAGAUUCAGAUCUAGUAGUAACUGGUUGCAAUCAGAAGCUAGUCGCGGCUGUCUGCUCGAUGGCCAUGCACCAGCAACCAGAUCUGAAGUGGAGGGGAAGAAAGAGGGGGAAGGAGUUUCUGGCAAAGGGAAAGGGAAGGGAAAGGAGAGGAGGAGGGAGGAGAAGGAAUGAGGGAAAUGGAGGAAGAGGAAAAAGAAAGGAGGGGGAGAAAGAGAAGGUGGGAGAAGAGAGGAGGGAGGGGAUGGCGGCAGUGGUGGUGGUAGGUGGCGAUGGCGGUGGUGGGUGAUGAAAGAAAAAGAAAUGAUAGAAUUAUUAUUAUUAUUGUUGUUAUUAUUAUUAUUAUUAUUGUAUCUGUGAGUUGUUUUUUAUGGGUUGAUGUUUUUGAAGUUGUUUUUGUUAAUUUAUUUCUGUAAUAUUGUAUUUGAAAAACUAAUUUUUAAAAAAUAGCAAUAUCCAAACAGAGCCAAAUCUUGUUCAGAUUCAUUUGUAGAUUUACAAAAUAUUGCAUUUUGAGUUUGCAAUUAUAGUGUUGUCUUAUUAGUUCUUAGUGCAAAAUUAAUGAUUCCCAUGUACAUAUAAGAAUGCUAUUAGAUGUUUAACCAAAAUUUUAAAAUUUUGGUGCUUUGCUGGCAGAGGUUAUCGAUGCACUGCAAAUUUGGUGAUCAACGUAUGUUCUAAAUCCAUAUCGAUAGCUCACAAAUGUGUUAGAUUUAAUUAUCGGAAAUAUUCUAUCUUGUGUGUAAUCUCUCGUUUUGUCUGCUUUGCAUUUGUAAAUUAAAUUGUUAUAUUUAUGAUAGCACAUGAAACAUUUAAGUUGUCUGUCUUCAAUUUAGGAUGGAUGGAUCUAAAAUUGUUGAUGAAUAGUGCUAUGGUACAGAUGUCGGUAGGUGACUUAAUAUAAAAUAAUGGCAGUUGACUUGACCAUUCGGUUUUCGUUCCUUUUGUGACAGUUUAGAGUCUUUUGCAUCCCUUUUUUGUGAAUUAAAUAAUUCAUCCAAAAGUACAUGUAACUUUUCCAACUCAAUGCAUACGAUUGUCUUGUAAAAUGGUAAGUUCUAAUUACUUAACAAAAUUUACCUUUUUAAUAUUUAAUCUUACUAUUUUUGUAAUGAAAUUUACUAUAUUUCUUUUUUGUCAAACUUACUCACUUUAGUGACAGGUAAGUUUCUAAGGUAAAUUAGUGAGUUUGUCCAAUAAAGUAGCAAAUUUUAAAAGUUACCUUUUUAUUUACUAUCAUUUUGAUUAGACUAACUAAUUUAGCUGUAUGUAAGUUUUUCAAGUAAAAUAGUAAGUUUGUGCAAUAAAAAAGUAAAUUUUGAAAAUUAUCUUUUUAUUAGUCAAAUUUACCAUUUAUCUGACAAAGCUUACUGUUGAUCUCAUUAAACUUACUAGUCUAGCUGUAUGGAAGUUUUUCAAGUAAAAUGGUAAGUUUGGAAAAUAAAGUAAUAAGUUUUAGUCAUCCAUAUAAGUUACCAUUUCAAUACACAAAGUUUCUAGUUAUCUUCCACAAUUUAGUAUAAUUGUAAAGAAUUUACUAACCAAGUUUUAAGUAAGUUUCACUAAUAUAUUGGUAAGUUUGUGCAAUGUAGUAGUAAAUUUUAGUCCCUUACAAAAAAUACCUUUUUAAUAAUAAGACUUACCCUUUGUUUUUCAAAACUUACUAUUAUUGUAAUUAAUUCUAAUCCAACUUCUUGUAGGUUUCACCUAUAAAAUAGUAAGUUUGUGCUAUUAAGUAGUAAAUUUGGCAAAACUAAUGUUUACCAAAUCAGUAUUCAAACUUAUUAUUUUCAUAGCACAAUUUACCCUAUAAUCAAAAUACCUGCCCACUUUUUCAUCUAAUGUUACUGUUUCUCAAGUAAAUCACUGAACUAUACCAAGAAAAUCACCUUGCUCUAAUUAGCCUGGCAACGUAUAGCUGCUAAGUUUCCUUCAAUCCUCCCUCCCUUUUCCUUUCGCUAGUUCUUACACUAUCCUUCCGACUAACUACUCCCUCUAAAUUUAGAAAGGGCGAAGCCAGCAUGCAAAUUAUUGACCACAGAGAACUAUAAUGGCAAAUGAAUUCAACUAGCAAUGCAUGUUUGGUGGAAAGAACAUAGCUUUUUGAAUUAGCAAUGCAUGAUUAGCGGAAAGGAAACAACUGUUUUCAUCAACGCUGCAGAUAAAGCAAAAAAUUGACAAACUCUAUUGAGCAAAAAGUUUUUCAGCUUCAGAACGCGGAGAUAAUCAUACUGCAGCUUGCUUAUUCUCAAAAGGUUAUACUUUUUUAAUACAAAAAUUCUAAAUAAUUGACAUUGUCUAUUCCUCAGCCACUUCUGAUUAGGAGAUUAAAGCAACAUCAAUUGAACCUGAGAGAUCCUUCAAAGCUAAGAAAGAUUUAGGGAUUGAUAUCAAUAACAAACCGCUAAGGAUUUUGGGUUUUGGUUUAUGAAGUAUUGAUGAAAAAUUGGUAGUACAGUCACAUAUAUUUUGCCUUGAGAUCAAAAUGGAUUAAAAGGGGUGGGGAAACAAUAGGACUCAACAAUAAUCUUUUUUUUUUAAUAAUUAGAGAUGGUUUAAGAGGACAUGGGACACUUUUGUUUUGGUAAAAUUAGUGAAAGAACUUGUAAAUUUCAUUUUACCAUUUUUGCAAUGAAGAAGUAAUUCUUAUCUGAUAUUAAAGCUUACUAUUUUUAUGGCUGAAUUUACCAAAUUUAUGGUCAAAUUUACUACUUUACCUUCUUACCGUACUUUUCAAGUUUCUGGGACUCAAGAAACUUGAAUGACUGGUAACAAAAUAAUCGUUAAAAGUACUGGUCUAGACUGUGGGAACUGCUUAUAACUAGUUUUAUCACUAAAAUAUUCAAAAGUGAGGUGACGAUGAGUCACCAUAGCAUUAUCCUAAUGUGAAACUAGUAGGUAACAAUUCCAGCAAAAGCUAAAAGGAUAGACAAGCUCUACUCCACUAGUGAACUUCUUUGGGGAAACUAAUGCUCUUGUUUUCUUAGGCCACCACCAAAUGUAGUAAACAUGAGGGUGGACUUUGAAGUGAUAAUAGAUUCUUCUCCGUGCAAUGCAUUAUCGGGAGUUUUACUAUCGCUUCACUUGAGGCUAUUCUCUCUUUUGUCCAUCAAAUAAUAAAGUUCCCUAACUACUAAAACUUGCAUAGAAUAAGUGAAAGAGGUUCAAGUUGCUGCUUGGAAAUGCUACAUUGCAUCUCUUAAAGGCAAAAGAAAGAAAAUUUUAUUUACUUGUACAAAUUGGCAUGUACCUUAAGAGAGAGAGUGCAUGGUCAUGAAGUAAACAUAGAAAAAAAGGGAAUGACUCUGAUGAAGAGCUCGAGCAAGUAUUUGUGGAUAUCCUAGAAGAACAUGAAUGAAGUGAGUAUGGUGAUGAUGACUUCACUAAAGGAGAAAAGAAAACAAAGAAGUUACUGAGAAGGAACUUUUCCAAGUUAUCAACAACCAUUUCGUCCAUCUAGUAGAGUAUCUCAAAAGACUUGGCAAAGCAGUUCUUUUUGAGAAGUAGGACAUAAGUAUGAGAGGUUGUGUAGAGAAAUCCUGGAUUUCUAACUCGUUCCAUUUGAAGUUUUAUUUUCAACAAGAGCUUCUAACACGUUCCUUCUAGGAAAUCCAAAAGUUCAUGAUGUAAUCAACUCAGGGGUGGACAAGCUUCAUCAUCUUAUAUCUUCUAGUUGAUUAAUGAAUUCCUAUUAUAUUCAAAAAACUUCUAAGAAAACUCUUAAAACUUUAGCUAUCUUAUUGAAAGACACUAUACUUAAAUGAGAUCUCAUAAAAAUAAACGGACAACCCUCCUAAGGAUGCAAGCCAAGUAGUUAGUCCUCCCGAAGGCGUAGGCUGCUAAUAAAAAAAAUAUAGUCCUUUAAAUGAUGCAUAAUACACAAAAAUUCAUUUGGAAAAAUACUUCUCUAAGUCUAAACUUAGAAAAAAUUAGCAAAGGGGCAAAAAGUUAAUUCCAAAUUUUCUACUACAUUAUAUCAUAGAACUCGUAUUUGGCUUUUUGUGGCAGUUUACAAAAAAAUUCUUAACUGAAUAGAUGGAACUUGAUUUCCAUGUGAAGCCAUAAUAUAUUCAAGAUUUCAAGUUACCUUUAUUUCCAUAGUAUAUCUUUUAUUCAAGUAAGCAAAAUCCUUAAUGCAUUACUUUUAAGUAAAUAAAAUUGCAUAGGAGCAAAUCUUGUGCUUAAUGUAAUAUGUUCUUAGUUUUAUCAUUUUCCCUUCAAAGAAAACGACGUAGUAUGGUAGGGGUUUAGCCACCCUACCAUUUGAAUCACUUUUAUAAGUUUUCAUGCCUUGUUUCGUUGUUGUUUUGCGAGAAAGAAGAUAAUUACUUCUGCAUGUUAGGAUUAAACGUUUAUCAUAAGUUAUUGUUGAUUGGUAUGUUGUGUAUCUGUUGUUAUAGCAAGCCUUUCUCCUAAUUCGGGUGAAUGCUACCACCAUGAUGAUCAAAUAAUUGCUAAGUUUGAAGAUCAAAGGCAGCAACAAAGCUAUCAAAGAAAUUCCAAUCUCAAUUUGAAGAUUAAAGGCAACAUCAAAAAUAUCAAUGAAAUUCCAAUCUCUCACAAGCUAAUACAAAGCUUUACCAUCCAAAAACCUUUAAAUUCAUCAUCAGAAGCUGCCACACCCUCAAAUGGUGAAUCCCAAAACCCUCAUCCAAGAAUUUGUUUUAAAGCUAUAAAAAUCAUUUCGAUAUAAGGAAUUUCACCUAAAACUACUAAAAUAUUGUCACCAGUAACUUUCAUUGUACAUAAAACCAUAGUCAUAAAUAGUCCCUCCAAGAUACCAUUUUUGAAACCACUUUUGAGUUAAAGGAUUUCGUACCGUCAGAGUUAAAGGAUUUCGUAAUGGUAAAAGUGCAAUUCUGGAAAGCAAAUCUCGACAUAUUAGGCCAUAGCAUGACCCAUGAAUUUGACACCCAUAAUGUCAAGAACUUCAUAAAUGUCAUGUUUAUUUUAUAAUAGACCUUGUUUGUAUGUGUCUAUAAUUAGAAACUCAAACGAAAGUACAACCUUUAGCCAUGUAUUAGUCCUUUGUUAUGUCAUUACCAUCUUUAUGAAAGAUGAAUUGUUUGUUUGAGCUUACCAUGAUUUAGAUGUACCUUGAAAUCGUGUAACAGCUUUCAAGAUAACUUUAUUAGCCACAUCAGUCAACAGCAAUUUUCCAAAAGUUACACCACCCUACACACAAAGGGAUUAUAAAAAUUCAUAAUGGUAAAAUAUCAGUUUAAGACGCAUAUAUUUCUACCUUAAUAUGAUUCUAAGUAUCUAUUAAUUUUUCUUUUACGUUACUCUUGAGCUAUUGGAUGACAAGAAGCUGGUAAUUCAAGGGAAAAUUUCUGAAAUUUAAGAGGCUUGAAUCACUGGUUGAGCCUUGACUAAAUCUUUCCCAAAUUGGUUUUUCAAAAUCUUUCCCAGAUUUAAGAGGCUUAAAUCUUUCCGAAAUUGGUUUUUCAAAAAUAAUUGAAUUGUUUUCAACUAGCUUUUUGGAAUUGAGGGCAUAUGUCUAAAAUGUUUGACAUCCAUGCAGACUAACAAUACCAUUUUGUUGUGAAAACUAGCCAAACACAUAAACACAUGAAGCUGCAAUUAGUAAUUUUGCCACCUAAAUGAUCAGAUAUUGCUCAUUUUCCUGACUAAAUUCAGCAGUUAACAACUGGGAAGGGGAAGCGUAACUCAACAUUUAGCAUAAGGUCAUAUCGUCUUCGUAUCUGUUUCUGAGAUCAUUUUAAAGCAUCGACUGUUCAUAGAAAUUAUUAAAGAAAUCGUAUGUGAAUGAAGCAUAAUUGGAGAUGUCAAGUGAAUUACUGGCGGAGUCAUGAUGUUAUACGAAAGAAAAUUAAUAUUUACUUAAACGCAUAUUAGUGUAGAAAUAUAUGUGCAUUAAAUUAAUAAUCUACCAUUUUGAAUUUUUAUAAUCCUCUUUACUCCUUCCAUCCCAUUGUUAUUGUUAUAUUUUCACUUUAUUGAUGUCUCAAAAUAAGAGUCACCAUUUCAAAUUUAAUACAUGCUUUCCAAUCUUGUCAUUUGAAAAAGCAACUUUUAAAAUUCUAAUACACAUCUAUUAAGAAAAUAUUUUGAAUUCAAAGGAUGCUUUUGUCAAUUUAUUAAUGUCAUCUCAUCUAGACAUAUGAUUAUCAUGUCUCUAUAAAAAAUUGGAUUCGCAUAAAAUGACUCUAAUAUUGGGACAGAGGGAGUACGUGUAGUGUGGGGAGUAAUGCUCAUAAUAGUCUUCACAUUUUUUUAGGAAAAUGGCCAUUUUGAUCCUUCAUCUUUUGGAUUUUGGCCAAUUUAGUCCCUUGUCUAUCUUCAUGACCAUUUUAGUCUCUUAUCUUUGCGAAAGAAUGCCAAUUUAAGACCUCUAAUGAAAAAUUAGAAAUUUUUGACAGAACUAGUCACAUAUAAGGCAUGUGCACUAUUAGAAAUGAUGGUUUUGGUCCAUUAUCUUCAAAGUCAUGUCCAAUUUUGUCCCUUAUAUGUCUAUUAUGAUUUUCUAGUUUCUCAUUAAAAGUCCUACAGUGAUUUCAUUUUGUGAAAAUGCGAGUUUAAAUUACUGAAAAGAUAAAAUUAGACAUGAACUUGAUGGUAAUAGACCAAAAUAGUCAUUUUUAGCACUUCACAUGGCUUGCAGUUAACUAAUUCCAUUAGAGAUUUUCAUUUUUUCUAUUUGAUAUCCUAGAUUAUUUAAUUUUUUUUUGUAAAGAUAAAAAAGUAAAAUGGCUACAGUGAUAAAUAAGGGACUAAAUUGAUCAAAACUCCGAAGAUAAUGGACUAAAAUGGCCAUUUUCCUUUUUCUAAAAUGGAGCAUCAAAAUAUGAAGUUGACUAACCAAGCUUUAAAGACAAAACUGUUCACGAAUUUUUUUCUUUCCCUAACUUACCAAAACAAGAGUUUCAAAGUUCAACUAGUUGUUAUGUUAAUAGUACAAAUAAUUAAUUUAUGCAGAAGAUACUUUGGAAUGUGGUCAUGCCAACUAUCUCAUUACUAACUAGUUGUCACCUAGUGCAUUGCACGGGCAUUUGUUUUGCUUUUACGUUUUCUUUAGUUUAAGUGAAACUAUGUUUGUUUUUCCUCUAUUAAUUUGGAGAAUGAUCAGAAAAAAUGUAGCAAAGACUAUUAUAAAUAAAAUGAAGAAAUUUCAUCAAUACCUUUUACUACUUUCAUCAUAUUCAUCUUCCUUAAUAUACAAGGUGAAAUUCUUAAGAUAAAAAAUUUGAUACCUAUUACGAAAAAAAUACGAAGACAAAAAAAGAACCAUUACUAAACCCAAAGAAUUUCGAGCAAAAAAUAUGAAGAAAAUAAAAGUUGAAACCUUCCUAACGUACCUGCAAGUGUAAAAGAUAAGAGAUAAGAGAUUUACAUAGUUGUUUAACAUGAAAAAGCGUCCACGGAGGGCUGAGAGAGAAAUUUGUUGAGAAAAUUUAUCUAGUGUUGAAAAAGAUAAAAAAAAGGCCGGAGAGAGAAUAAUGAUGAGGUCUUCUAAGAGUGCCUAUAAAAAACUCGCUUUGUCAAAAUUGUUGAUAUGUAUCAAAUGAACUCAGGAGUUCCCCCAAACACUUCACUAGACUGAAUUCUUUGGCCUAACAGAGGCAGAAAAUUAUUGUUCCCGUUGAAAUGUUUCGAGGGAACUCUAGAGAACAUCUAAUGCUCUAUUAACAAAUCUAUGCUUUUGCCCCUUGUUAGGUCACUCUCUUUAUAGGGCUCUCCUGUCUCCACACAUGCAGUUUCUGCAUGUAAUUACUUUUCACAAGCCACAUGCUAUUUUUUGGAGAAUGGACGAACCUAGUCAUGAUAUAGGAUUAGAUGAAAGACAGAUAGCCAACAAAACUUGAGAGGUCAUGUUUCUUCAACCUUUUCAAUCAGUAGGCAUCCCCUUUGAUCUCUCUUUUUCAACUUUUUGUUCACGAAUAUAACAAUAUUAUUUGUCCAUAGAAAAAAAAGAAUGGCGAAUCUAUCAAUCUCACGCGUGUUAAUUUGGCAGAAGCAUACAAUUGCUAAACCUAGUCCACUAGAAACAUAAAUCUGGUAAUUGUCCAUCUUAAACAUACUAAAAACAGCAGGAUUGUUUGUCCAAGCAGUUCGCAUCACUUUCUAGUUGCAUUAAAAACCAUAAUUUUGCUAAUAAACCUAGGAGUUAAGGAUAUGAGAGUUGGAAUACAAGUGGUUGAGCUCUAGAGGGUACAAGAUGACAAGAAUAUAUUUUAUGUGUUUUAAGUAUGUUUUAUUAGUUAGUUUUGGUGUGUUUUAAUUAGUUUUAUAGCUAAUAAACUAAGAUUCUAGUGAAAAUAUGUAUUUUAUGGUUUAAAGUGUGAAAAUUGCAUUUCUAUAAACUUUUACGGCAAAUAUUUCAUGUUUUUGCAGGAUUAAUGAUUUAAUCAUCAAAGAGUAUGAAUUGAGAAGAAAAUUUGAUGAUUGGUGAUGAUUUGAGGUGUUUAAAGAAGAAAUGAAAUGCAAAAUAAUCAAAUGAAGAAUUGCAAGAGAAGACUAUUUUGACACGUUUCUGUAUUUCGGCUAAAUCUUGAGCUAUACACACUGGAUUAAGAUGAUUCUUGAACCAUUUUGAAGCUAAGAAAUAGAUCUACAUUUGGUAUGAAGACAUUAAAGUCCAAUUCAGCCGUUUUCCUGGUCAAAAAGUCAAAACACAGAAGCUUAUCUGUAUGGUCGAGAGCUGAAACACAGAAUUGACCAGUCUAUGGUAUUUCGAUCAUAUCUCCAUCCACCGAGCUCCAAAUUAGAUGAUUCUUGAAGCAUUGGAACGCUAAGUCAAAGGGUUACAACUUUCAUGUUUUGCACAACAGCCAGUUCGGUGGCUAUCAUAGAGAAAAUUACAGUUGAAACGAGGUUAAAAGUGAAUACGCGUAUGGAAGCUGAAUUUCUGCAAAUUGCUCAGCCAUUUUUCUCAUUUUCAUACUACUUUCUAGCUGUAGUUGGAGAGAAAACUUAGGUUGCACAUGUUUCUGAUGCACAAAGGAAGAAAAAUAGCUUAUUGUCAAGUCAAAAAGAUACGGUAGAAUCAAGAGGCUGAUCAUUGUUUUGUUGACUUUGUUAACACCUUAGAUUUGGAGAAUCAAGGGGGGAGAAGAAAAAUAUGGUAGGAGAGGGAAGUGACAUCAGAAUUUAGCAUAAAAAUUGAGGCUGGUGAUAUUCUCUCUAGCCAGCAAUUUUUACAAAAAACACUUGGAGAGCUUGGAGAGACAUACGGGAGAAAGCUUGGGUCUGCAAAAAUGUAGCUCUUCCAUUUUUUGUGUGUUAGAUUAGUUUAGUAUAGAGUAGUAUAGCUCAUCCACUCUUGUAUAUUGACUAGAUUAGGAUGAAGAUGGAGAUAAAGAAAGAGAAGUUGAAGCUCAUGUGACAAGGGUUAUCUCUUCUCCAACUCUUUAUCUUUUGUAUUGGAUUCUUAAGUAUGGUCAAUAUACAAGUUUUGGAUUUUAUGUUUAUUAUGUGUUUCUAAAGUUUAUGCCUUGGGUUUGGUUGAACUUUCUAUGAUUGCUAGUGUUUAUUAUUUGGCUAUUUGAUUGCUAUGAUGUGAGCAAGUUAUUUAGCACUUUAGAUCUCUAAAUCAUAAUUAAUCUGGUACCAUUAAUUGUGAUUAUCUAAGAUGUUGUUUCUGCAAUGAAAAUUGAGAUUUAACACUGGUUCAAGAAGUGCUAAACAUAAGGAGUACACUCACAAGAGUAGAGGUGCACCUAUGUGGUUUUAGUGAUUAAUUUCAUGUAAUUUCAUUGAAGAAAUGAACUUGUAGCUAAUUUCAUAACCAUGAGAAUAAGUAUGGAUUAGUUAUAAGUAUAGUUGAUUCACCACGAAAGUAGGAUUCAUAUGCAUAAAGAAAUUACAUCAUAACUAGCCAAGAUAGUGGUAAUCAAUGAUCCAAAAAUAGCAUUUGCAUGAGUAGUUAGGGAUACCAUAACCUAAGGAGCUUUCAUUUGUUAUUUUGCAUAAGUUCAGUAGGUUUCAUUUCUUAUAUUUUAUUGAUAGUCAAAAUAAUAAAGAAACUUUAGUAGUGCCGGUAAUUGUUCAAUCUUUCUCGUGUGAUCGACCUGAUAUAUACCCUAAACUACUAGUUGACCUGUAUACUCGCAGUGAAACGGGUGUAUUUCAGAUUUUUAACUUGUACGUAUAUUAAAAGCUCGUCACAAGAGUAGUAGGUUUAUUCUUAUCUUUUCAUUUGCUACGUAAUUCUGACUAGGUUCAAGCUAGAAAAUCCAUAUGGAGACUUGAUUUUCAAGAGAUCCUUUUAGAGGGCUAGUUGUCCUAAUCAGGAAGGCCACAAAUACGCACGUACAAAUCUUAUCCACUCAAACAGAAGAUAAUUAAGGAAUCAGCUACACCACUACAAAUUCUCUGCUUUGCACAUCUGCACUUCACUGGUUAAUUUCCAUGUGAAUUCAGCAAAAUAUGCAUCUAAAUUCUAUCUUUCAAAAAGAGUGGUUACGUUCUUUAGCCUAAAUUAAACGACAUGACAAUCAAAGACAAAUUUUGUAUUACAAGAAGUGUAUGGUUGAUUAAUCAAAGACAAAUUUUGUAUUUUGUAACACAAAUAGGUUUGUAGGAAUUCAAAUUCUACCAUUUUCAUUGAGUAAUGAUUAAUGAACUAUUGGCCUUAGAAGCACCAUGAACUUUUUGUUGCACAAUCCUUGAUUAUGUCUCGUUUUUUCAAGAUUAUCCUAGUUUAAGUCCUUGAGUAAAAACUCACCCAUCUGACCUCCAAAGUGUUUUGAGAACCUUGAGACUGCACUCCCUUUACCAGCCAAACUCUCCAAAUCAACCUUCUUUUCUAGUCAAUUGGAUUAUUUUCUACAUAUAAUGACUGACAACCAAAUGGCUUCUGAUCAUUUCUAUAUUGCAAAGCAUGACCUCUUAGCGUACUUCUAGCGUAUAAAAUUAACCAUUUGAAUAUUAACUGACUUGUUAGAUAAGGAUCCAUUUGAAUGGAAUAAUGAAGUAAAUGCUGGUUUUCAAACUAGAACUGUACUGCACCAGUUUUAGCCUUGCUAUAUUUUUUUGAAACAUUAAUUAUAUACCUGUGAUUAAUACUUAUAAGGCAAUAGAAUUGAUGAGUACUAAUUGGCUAGCGAUACUACUAAAGCCAUAAUCUUCUAGUCAAAGUAAUAUUUAUCCAAACACGGACACUACUCUCAAUUAGUUAAUGCCAUAUAUUCUAAUUGUUGUUUUUGAACUCAUUAUCCACGAAUUACUCAUUUUCUUUCUCUUUCUCAUUGACAGAACGAGCUUUUGUCUACUUCUCUCAUUUCCCCUCCAAUUCUUGCCUUCCAAUCUCUCUCCCUAUUUCCUAUUUUACAAUUUGUUUUCAUUUUGUUGAGACUUUUUGUAGUAUAUGGUUCAAGAUCUUUUGCAUAAUACUAUUCUCCGCUUUGCUCUUGUUAUUUUUCCAUCACUAUUAGUAAGUGUUUCUUUUUUCUUCCGUUUUUGCUUUUAUUCCAUUAUGUUUUCUAUUAAAUAAUCUUUUCUUACAAUUUUUUUCUUUUAUUCCAUUAUGUUUUCCAUCACUAUCAGCACAUUAUUACAAAUUUCAUCAAUUUUUUUAUAACUCCUCCAUGUUCCAGGUGCUUCUUAUUAUGAGUGGUAUACCUACUCUUGAACGGCUUCAUCAAUUUUAAUUGAACUUUAAAUCUUUACGGUGCAAUGGUUGCUUUAGUGGACAAGCUCAUAUUCGUUAGCAAGAGAAGAGGGAGAUCAUUAGGCCAUAUCUAAUCAUCCAUACUAAAGUCAUUUUUUUCAUAUUAUAAAAUUAUAACCUUGAGGGUUUACUAUUUUUUUUAAUUCAUAUUUUUUUUAUUAAAGAUCAUGGAAAAACUGUGUGAUUGCUUUUAUAAUGUCAUUCAAACUCAAUCCUAUGAUAUAUGCAAAUGCUUUAUUUCUUUGAAUUUUGCUUGUUUAAUGUAUUAGUGUGCAAUUGAUCUCCUUAUAAACUUCACUACCUUUUCCGCUUUUCUAAUUAUUAUAUGAAUCUUGAUUUCAACAUGUGUCCAUAUUUUCUAAUAACUAGAUUAAAUUUAUUUUUAAUUGUGUUAUGUUCUAUACCCCAUGCAUAUAGAAGGAAAAGUGUGUGUACAUUUUUUUGGACUAUUUUCAUUUUAGAUUGUUAGUUGUUUGAGUUAAAUCACAUUGUAUUUGCAAAAAAACAAAAUAGCUUUUAAAUACGACUUUGAAAAUUAAAAAUAAGAGUGCUUUAAAGUAAAAGAAUUACAAUCUAAGAAAAAAUAUGGUAAAAACUCAAAACCAAAUCAAUGAGUUAUGAAAAUAAUAGAUAAAUAAAUUAAAGAGAUGGAAGAAGUAGGCAAGCUAUUCAAUUAACUAGAGAGAGAUGAAAAGAAAUAAUUGGUGGAUAAUGGGUCCAAGAGAAUCAAUGAGAAUAUAUGGUGUUGAAUAGUUGAGGGUAAUGUUGGUAUUUGGAUAAAUAUUGUUCUGGCAAGAAUAUUAUUGCUCUAACAGUAUCGCCAGCCAUACUAAUUACAUUUGGUAUAAAAUGCGAAAAAUGGAAAUGUUUUAGUUGGAAAUCAAAAAGUAUGGGCGCCCAUGAAGUAUUUCUCAAAUUAAGGGUGACAACAUAUGUGUUGGUUGGGAUCUAAAUUUUUACCAUCUAAACCCAACCCAAACUCAGCCUAUAAUGCAUAGAUAAUAACACAAAAUAGUAUUAAGAUAAUAGCACAUAUAUAAAUUUUCACCCAUUUAUAUGUAUUUAGAUAAUACCACAUAGAAUGCUGUAUACCUAAAAGUGCAUACAUACACAUAUGUAUAUGCGCAUAGGCAUGUUUUGUAUUAUAGUUACUACAUACAUUCAUGUUAACACAUUAAUUUUUGGAAGAAUCUUUGUCAUUCUUUCACCAUAUAUUUUGUUAAUCAGAAUAUACUUUUCCUCAAGGAAGUUUCAAAACUAUUAAAAUUUAAAUUUUUUCUCAGAUGACUUUUUGUAGGACACUAAUCAUGGUAAAUAAAAUAGGUCAAUGACCCAAUGUCACAAGAAUUGUGUGAAAUUAUGGAUAUUCAUGGGCCCGUACCCGUUAGGUCACUUGUACACCUUUGGACCCUGGUUUGAAUCUAAACAAAUUAAUUUUGGUGUGGAUCUAAGUGGUCUAAUGACGAAUAGAUCCCCAAGCCCAAAUCCAUUUAGGCUCCGGUAUGGGUUUUACCUUUAGCCCUAUUAGAGUUUGUAUCCAAACAAAUUAUAUUUUAUAAAGUUGAGCCCGGAAAUUUCAACCCAAACCAAGCACUAACAUCCUUAACAAGAAUCACGAUAUACGUGUGUAAAAUCUCUAUCAGAAUUAUAUUGGUUGAUGAUAUGUAAAAACAUGCUAAGCAACUUAUAAAUUAUGAUUCGAAGGAUAUAGUCUGACCGCAGCAGCGAUUGGUGUCGAAUUCACCUAAACUUUAUCCCAAAAAAAAAAAUUGUGUCAGCUGGCUUAAUAUUUAUUGAAAAUCAGACAUAAGCAGUAUAUGGCACGCUCUUUUUGGCUUGGUCUAUGCAUAGGUUCUAUAUAAGAUUUUAAAUCAAGCUAACAAAAUCAUCACAAUCGAUGUCAUCCCUGUAAAGAAUGUGCAUACAAGUUUGUAUAAAAUUCAAUUCCGAAUUUUGUUUGUUGAAUACAAUUAUUGGAUAUUAUAUAUGAGAUUCUUCAUAUUUGCAGAUUAUAAAAAUUUUUCCUUAAAGAGGAAUUUUCACAAGAGCUAUACCUCUUCUUGGUAGACUGCUAUGUAACUGGUUUCUCGGUUUUCUUUUUAAAUGUUGCGUCAUCAUUUGCAUUUGGUAUGUUCAUCUAUCAAAAUGUUAGCUGUCAAUCAAAUUUGAAUGCAGAACUCUAAGAUGCCGUAGUGGACCGAGAAGGAUUUUGGCACUGGGGCCAGAGGGCAAAUAUUAGUUUACCAAAUCGAUAAAGGGGCUUACCUCUACUUUUACAAAAAUCUUUCUGGGACCAGGGUGGGAGAGCAGGGAAGCGAAGGAAAUAUAAUGUAAUUUUUUCUUUUAGUGUAAAUGAAAGGAUUUGAAUUCGGAACCUCUCGCUUAUAUUUCCUACUCCCGUACCAUCCAAUCGAUCUCACCCCUGGGAGUAUAAUAUAAUUUUCUUAAAGACUUGUCUAGGAACUUUCACUUUUAGAAUGCAGGAAAUAUAGUUUUUAAAGUCUUGGAAGGGUUAAUACUUAAUACCCCUACAUGGCACUUGAUAGGAAUUACCCCUUUUGGUUUUAAAAUCAUAAACUCAACUGGUAUGUUGCAUGUCCAACUACAAAAAUUGCAACAAAGGUUUCCUUUUUUUUUUCUUUUAGCAUUGCAACAAAGCUUAAAAUAAAGAAAAUUUAUUUGUCUUUAUUAAUGAAAAAUGUAGAGUUUCAAGAUGUGUUAGCAUUGGCUUCUUCUAACAUUCAUAAUCACAAAGACACGUCAUAACCUAUAAUAUACCUGCGGCACGAUGAUCAAAGGUCAUCAAGAACAGAAAAAAGAUCAAUGCCUUUGCCAUCUUCUUGUUUUUGGUUUUUUUUUUUGUGUGUCUUUCUUGCUCUUGGUUAAGCUAGAAUACUACAUCCUACAAGUGUUCCAGAAGGUCUUCUGUAUAUUGAAACUUUACCCACCAUAAAGAUUUGAUUAUUAAUGCCAAAUCUUGUAUUUAUGGUAUUAAUCAAAUAGCAUAUGUUACUUUAGUAAGUGAAUCACUAAAACUGAGAUGUGAUUUUAUAAAAAUUAUAUCAUGUCUAAUAAGAAUAGUAAAAAAAAAUUUGCAUCAUUAAUGUGUAUUUAUCGAAUUAAUGCUGCUAGAAUUGGUUACCAAAUUUUCUCUCCACAGAUAUUUUAGAAACUGUGAAUGGAAAAGUUACAUCAGGCAACAUGCUGAUACUUCAAUACACGAGCAUCUAUACCAGUAUUUGGAUAACAAAUCCAGUACAUGAGCAUUUCAGUUCAUGAAAAUAUUUUACCUCGUUUUUCGAAAAUUAUGAUAACAAAUCUAUGAACUUAAAAAAAUCGAUGCUUGAAGGAUUAUCUAGUUAGUAGUGGGAAGGGUACACCCUUCAUUAGGUUUAAAUUAAGGAAAAUUAACAGAAAGUUAUUAUAUGAAUUUAGGACCUGUUUAAUGGAUUCAAAUCUUAAUAUAUUCAAAUGUGUCUGAUAACUAAAAAUUGAACAUCUCAUUCAGCAUUUAAACCUAAUGAAUUCAGAUUUUAAUAUAUUUAGAUGCAUUUGAUAACUAAAAAUUAAAUAUCUGAAUUAAUUAAAUGGCACUAAAGUUUUUAGGCACAAUUGGCUCCCAAUAACAAGUGAUAAACUAUUCACUUAUUAUUAAUGUGAUAUACAAUCAAAUAUAUCAAAUUUAGUAAUUUAAAAUUUUAAUUAAUUUAAUAGAUUCAAAUUUCAGACUUCAAUUUUAUUAAACGCACCCUUAGAGAAUCAAAAAUAAAUUGAGGAUAGGAAGUUAUGGAAAAUUAAAAGGUAUUAGGACACUUGUUUAGCGAGGGCAUUGCUAGGAAGCACAAAAAUGUUACAUCAAUGUAUCUGCUCUCACUAUGUUAAAGUUGAAACAAUGGUGUUGCUCUUGCUUUUAUGGUGCCAUAAAAGGAAGGUGAAGUCAAUAGAAGAAAUAUAUCCAAGAAACUAUUGUGCAUUAUGUUGAAAUUAAAAUUGAAAUUUGAAAUGACUCAUUUCAAAUGAAAUGCUGCAAUAAUAUAACAAUCCAUGACUAAGUUCUUAACAGAUUAUGACUUGGGUCCCAGCAAGCCUAGGAUGUUUAGUCCGUUGAUUAUAAAUGCUAGAUGACAUUUUUCUCUGAUAUUUCUUGACUAUACCGUAACAAUAACAUUUUCUUUAAUGAUAACAACACUAAUGAACUGGAUUCCAUCAGAACUUCAAAAUUAAACGUGCUUAGACUAGAAUAGUAUUAGAAAGGAUAACAAUAACAUUAUACUAGGCCACCUAGCUGAUUGGGAAAUUAGGCGGCAGGAUAGGAAGCAUUCUGCAUGGUAACACGCAUAGUGGCAAAGCCAGGAUUACUUUUAAGUGGAGACACAAAUAAACUGCAAAUUCCUUUUGAUUCUUGAACAUUUACAAUUUUUCGGUUUGAACUAUUGAUAAGUGCAUAUUCUAUGUAUUUUUAGUGUGUUUUAUUAGUUAGUUUUGGCAUGUUUUAGCCACUUUUAUAGUUAAUUAACUAGGAUUUUAGUGAAAAUAUGCAUUUUGUGAUUUAAGUGGUAAAAAUAGCAUUUCUAUGGAUUUUAAUAGUGAAAACUUCAUGUUUUUGUAGAUUUAAUAAUGGCAUGAAUUGAGAAGAUAAUUAGAUGAUUGAUGAUAAUUUGAAGUUAUUUAAAGAAGACAUGUAGUGCAAAACGUUUAAAGGAGAAAUGCAAGUUAAGACAGUUUUGACACCUUAUGAUAUUUCAACCAUAUCUUGAGCUACAAACGUCAGAUUAAGGUGAUUCUUAUACCAUUUUGAAGCUAAGAGAAAUAUCUACAUUUAGUAUAAAGAAUCAAGUCCAUUGAGAUCGUUUUCCUAGCUGAAAAGUCAAAAUACAGAAGUGCAAUUUAAUGAUCGAAAGCUGAAACAAGGUAUUGACCAGUUGCCUGUAUUUUGGUCAUUUAUCAGUCCACAGAGCUCCAAAUUAGAUUAUUUUUGAUGCAUUGGAAAGCCAACUCAAAGGACUACUUUUAUGUUUUACAAAAGAGCUAGUCCAGCCUCUAACAUCAAGAAAAUAUCAGUUGAAAUUGGACCAAAAAUAGAGUAAAGAGGAAUUCUGCCCAGAAAAUGCAAACCUGCAAAGGAGAAAAUGUGGGGUUCGGUCGCGUUUUCGAGUCACGUAUUCUUCAUUUUCUGCUGCAACUUGCUUUGCAACUUAUUUUGCAUUCACACAACCUUUUCAACUCAUCUACAACUCAGAAUUUCGGCUGUAUCUGACCAAGAAGAGUGUGAAAAUUUGGAGAACAACUCUUGGUGAGUUCAAAAGCCAACUUUGCUAACCAAGAAACAGCUCAUCUUGAGCUUUAAUUCUCUAUAAAUAGCAGCCUUUAGAGAACAUUUUCACAACUUUGGAAGGCCAGAGAAACUCUACAAAGAUAUAGUCUUCACUAGAAUUUCUUUUAUUCAUUAGUUAGAGUAGUAUAGUAUAGUUAGUUUAGUUUUUCCUUUUUGUAUUUGUAGUUAGAUUUGGAUGAAAAUUUGAAGAGUAAAGAUGGAGAAUUAGAAUUCACGUGACAAGGGUAACUUCCGUCCUAUCACUUUUUUUUUGUAUUUGAUUUCAUGUUUAACUAUAAUAUAAGUUUGGUGUUUGUUUUCAUGUUUAGUUAAAGUUUAUGCCUAAAAUAUGGAUAAACUUUCUAUAUCUUAUUUGUGAUAUUUACUUGGUCAAUUAGUGAUAUUAUUUUAAACAAGUUAUUUAUCACUUUUGUUUUUCUAAUCAUGAUUAACCGGCCAUUAAUUGUGAUAAUGUUAAGGUGUUAAGUUUGCAAUGAGAAUUGAAAUUUAACACUAGUUCAAGAAAGUAAUAAACCUAGGGAGUACACUUGUGAAAGUAGAGAUAAGUGGUUUAAGUGACUUGUUUCUUGUAAUUUCAUAGAAGAAAUAAGUUUGUAGUUAAUUUCAUAACCACGAGAGUAGGUAUGGUUCAGCCGUAAGUAUAGUUGAUUCACUAUGAGAGUAGGUUUCACAUAUAUUAGAAAAUUACGCCAUAAUUAGUCAAAAUAAUAGCAUUCACUUAACCGGUAACUUCACUUGCAAGAAUAAUAAGGAAUUCCAUACCUCUAUGAGUUUUCUAUUGUAUUUUUUGUUAUUUUUACAGUGUAGAUUUAAUUUCUUGCACUUAUGAUAGUCUAAAUAAUAAAGGAAUUCGAAAAUCACUGAUAAAUGAAAAUCUUCCCUAUAGGUUCGAACCUUAAUACCCUAUACUGUGACGACUCCACUUCUCCUUAAGGCGAAUCCUAGGGUUUCGACGGGCCGCCUACCUAACUCUCACCAAGACUCGAUACAAGUCAAGAUUAUAAUUUAGACCUAAACAACCAAUAAGAAACUAAUAUAAAGAAAAGUCACUUCCUUCGAUAGUCAUCCAAUUGUACAUCAUAAUAUUUCCAAAAGUUACAUCAAAUUUUCCCAAAAAUACAACCACCAAAAGUUGACUAUAUCAUUUACAUCCACAAUUGGACCAAAAGAUAAUCAAAGCUAGAUUCUCCAAAAUCUUUCCACUUUAAAUUCCUGCUAAGGAAAACAAACUUAAAGGGGUGAGCUAACGCUAAGUGAGGCCAAGAAAAGCAGGCAGCAAACAGGUACAUCUAGCAAUAAUAACAUAUAAAUAAAAGGCAACCAAAAUAUUCAUGUAAAAUCACAAAAGGAAUUAAAAACACAAUCAAUGAAGGAUACGGAAACUCUCAGGAGCUAAAUCCACACUGCUUCAUCGAUAAUCUUGAUCCAUAAUUUUCAAGUUGACACUUCGUCAAUCGAGCAAGUAACAAGUCUAUAGAACCCCACUUUUCACCAAUUUCCGUCCACCGUUACACCCCCUAACCGGGCCCGAACGUCAAAAGUUUUGAUAUUACUCGAGUAUAUCGAGGCAAGUAGUGUAUGAGCCCAAGAUUCACCAAACUCCUCAACCAAGCCCUUGCUGGCUUGAGUUGAUUGGCUAGCCAUUGGGUUUGGGCGUCCCCACGAGUAUCAGUGGUCGAUGAGAUUGCUUUCAAAUCAACGUCAAGUCAAAUACAGGUAUAAUUAUCAAGUACAAGCAGAUCAAUUAUCAAGUCAAGUAAAAGAGAACGAGUGCGAUAAAAUACACACUCGUUUUGACAAGUCCAAUUCUCAUAUUCAAAAAGAAGUAGUUCAAGUAUUAUGCAACAAGUCAUGGUAUUAUGCAACAAGUCAUGCACUUGACACUCACCAGUUUCAAAAACAAGUGAGCAAGAAAUUCCUUUAAAGUUCGUCGCCGGAAUUCCUUUCGAAUCCCUUUUGAGUACCUGAAGAAAUAUUAACCAACCAACACUCACGGAUACCCUAGGUCAUCGAGCAUACAAAAAAGAAAGUUCGUUUGCCUAGAAUUAGGAUAAUGCAUCAAAAUGGGUUUAUUUCAUUGAAAACAGAGAUUCACAAAUGAAGGUUUAAAGUCACAAGUUCAAGUCAAGUUAAAGGUGCUUUUCUCGCUAAAUCAUUGAAAUAAUACUCAAAGAGAACUCAAAAGUCAUUUUUGAUUCAUGUCAUAGUAAGUAAAUUUCAAUUCCAAAAGAAAGUACCAUAUUUACUUUUGAAACGAAAAUCGAGAAAAAGAUAGAUGGUUUUCAUUCCUCAAAACUUCUAAUCUCAUGCCCGAACUUUAAAAUAUAAAGAAGUUCACAUUUUCAAACUAAUGGAGUCAAAACUCGUCCAAAACUCUACUCAUUUCAUCGUAAAUGUCAAAGCCAAAGGUUCCAAGUUUUGAGUAGAAAACUAGUUAAAAUUCUCUAAGAUUUUCUCUAGUUAAAACGCUCCACUUUUAAAGUUAAAUGUCAUGGAAAUGAAGGGUAUAAGCCUAGGGAUUGAAAUCCAUAACUCAAGUAUAAAAAGAGGUGCCAUUAACCAAGGAAGUUAAACAACCAAGUAAACACAUUAAGAGAGGUUUAAUCCUUUAGAAACCAAGAUUUAAAAUCAAGGUUUAAAGCUCAAAAAAACCUUGUAUCCGACCAUGAAAUUAACUUAAAACAGGCCAACAAUCACAAAGAAAGGUUGGAAGUGCUUAAAAGAGUACUUUGUAUGAAACCAGAAAUUUCCAGUUUAGUGUGACACUACUUGGAAAAAUCAUAUCUCAAGCUCUGUAAGUCCAAAAGUUGGAAAGUUUAUAUUGUUGGAAACUAGACUCAAGGCACUGAGGGUGGUGAAUAGUCUGCGGGGUCCACUCCCUGCGGGAUACACCUAAAAAAAAAAAAAAAAAAAAAAAAGGCACUAAAACUCUCUAGAAGAUACUUUUCUUAGACUCCAAUCUGAAUUCACUCAAAUUUUAGCUCAAAAUCACUGUUCCAGACAAGACAGGGCAAAAUAGGCUUGCAAUUUCAGUAAAGUUUUGAAAUUCGGUAAAAUUCGUAGGAAUGGAAUCAACCCUUUGAAAUUUAUACUGCUAAUAGAAUUUGAAAUUUAAUUUCAAAUGCAAUAAAUGGAACCCAAUUUGGACCUUUCUACAUCAAGAUACAAUGGUUUUAAGAAAGCUGAAUUUUGGAACCUAUUACACGAAAUUUCCAGUUUUGAAGGCUUGACAGAGUUUAAAAAUCUGAUCAUAACUAGAGCUACACAACUCAAAAUUUAGUGUUUUUGUGGCAUUGAAAACUAGAUUCAAAAUACUACAAAUUACUAGAAGGAACUGUCUUAAAAUUCGUUUUGCAAGAUAGGUAAAAUUGAGCUACAAACUGCAGCUAGGACUGUUUCUCGGAUGAAAGCAGUGAAGAAAUUCAGUCAUCUUUGCCGGUUCACUAUGGCUCAUAGAAAAUGAAUUUGGAGGUGCAUUUUAUACCAAUGGAAAGCUCUCGGAGUCUAGUUUUGGUUGCCACAAAUGGCACUCAAUUUCAACUCCCAAACAAAAAGUUAUGAUCCAAAACGUGAACACUAAUCGGUGCUUCUGGUCAGAAAAUUUCCAGAUUUCUUCCUCACUUAAACCUUACUUUAACUCAACCAAUUGUACAGCUUUUUGGGAGAUUUUUAACACACAUAAACACCAUCAUAGAACAAACAUUAUAGCACCAAAAUAACAUCAAAAUUCGAAAUUAAUCUGAGGGUUUCAUCAAGCCAAAUUUCGGACAGCAAGCAUCCUUCAUCUUCUAGUUUUCUUUUCCAACUUUCCAACUAAAACUAAGCCAUAUCUUCUAAAAAUAAGCAUCAAACAAGCAAGUAAAUAUACAAAAUCUGAAAGCCCCGAUGCAACCAAAUACAACCAAAAUACUCAACCAGACAAGUAGUCAAGUAAAUACAAUGACAAAGAAUAUAAGCAAUUUUAAAGCACAAAAAUAAAGUAACAAUAAAGUAAAAGAAAUUCAAACCAAUCAAACUCCCAAGCUUCUUCCAACCUUGGAGUUGAAUCCACCAACUUCCUUUUCAAAUUAUUUUUGCAAUCAAAAACACCUUUUUGAUUUUUUAAAUCAUCAUUUUCCAUUCUCAAACAUUUGUUUUCUUGAAAAAGUUUGGAGUUUUCUUCCAACAAAUCAUUUAUUUUUGUUUUCAAAUCUUUAUUUUUAGCAUAAGAUUCUCUCAAACUUUUAUGCAUUUUAAUCAUAAGAAUUUGCACAUCAUCAUCUUCAUUAUCUUCAUCACUAGAAGAGUGAUAAGAAUUUACCUCAUCUUCUCCAAAGGCCAUUAGUGCCAUUUUGGCCAACUCUUCUUUUUCUCUUUUUGAAUUGCAUUCAUCCCAUGUAAUUUUGCAAUCUCCUCUUGAACUUCUCUUGUUGAAGAUCUUCUUGAAACUUUUGAUGUGAGGAGUUAUAUCAUUGUCCACUUCCAUGUUUUCAUUACCCAUGAAGGAUGGGUUAUCCCCCACUUGAGAUGCUUUAAAAGCUAUGCCUCUCUUAUACAUUCUUGCAUUUUCUUCCUCUUGCACUUUGAAUUUCAGCUUUAAUUCAUAAGAGGUUAGGGAAUUCACAAGAGAUUCAAUGGACAUAGAAUUUAAAUCCUUUGCCUCUUCUAUAGCAUUUAUUUUGUUUUCCCAUUCUUUUGGCAAGGCAUUCAAAAUCUUUCUAUUUUUCUCACCCAAAGAAUAUUCUUUUCCAAGCAAUUUAAGAUCUUGAAUAAUGUCACAAAAUCUACUACACAUCUUAUCAACAUUUUCAAGAUGAUGCAUUUUGAAAAAUUCAUAUUGAGAAACAAGCAAAGAUUUCUUUUGUUCUUUAAUAUCUUGGUUACCUUCAUGAAAUUCACACAAUUUAUCCCAAAUAUCUUUAGCUGAUUUACAACCUUUAAUCCUACUAGAUUCAUUUACAUCUAAUGCAUUGUACAAUAUAUACAUGACCUUGGCAUUCAAAGAAAGGUAUCUCUUGUCUUUUUCAUUCAAUUCUUGUCUAGUUUUUAAUCUACUCAAAUUAGUGGUAGAGUCAACUAUUCUAGCUUCAUAAGGACCAUCUUCUACCACAUACCAUAAUUCAAUAUAAACGGAUUGUAAGAAAAUCAUCAUUCUUUGUUUCCACAUGCUAAAAUGAGAACCAUUAAAUAUAGGUGGUCUAUCAAUAGAUUGCCCUUCUAAAAAGGAAACUUUUAUGGUUGCCAUGAUCUUUACUCUAAGCGGUUAAGCUUAAUCUCUAGGAGACCAAGCUCUGAUACCAAUUGUAAGCCCCGAUGCAACCAAAUACAACCAAAAUACUCAACCAGACAAGUAGUCAAGUAAAUACAAUGACAAAGAAUAUAAGCAAUUUUAAAGCACAAAAAUAGAGUAACAAUAAAGUAAAAGAAAUUCAAACCAAUCAAACUCCCAAGCUUCUUCCAACCUUGGAGUUGAAUCCACCAAAUAGUUUCUUCAAUUGAUGGUAGUGCUAACCAACUUGUACAAGCGUCCGAUCCUCUACGUCCGAACCUUCAUAUUUCUUAACUUCUCUUUGAUUCAAAUCUUUUCGAUUCUCUUUUGGAUCAAUGACCUGUUCUAACAAAUUUCUCACAUAAAAACAUUAGUCCAAAUCUACAUUUUGGUUUGUUAAUCAUCAAAACCAAGGACUAAUCAACCAAGGUCAACAAAAUCCUCAAGGCCUCUACCUAUAAAGUCACCUCAAGUCUUCUACCUAAUGUCAAGGUUCUUGUGAACCCAUCAACAACCCAACCACUAACUAGCUAGACUAACUAAUCUAUCCAUAAUUGAAGGAAAAGAUGAGAGCUUUAGGAAUUUUACCUUUCUUCCAAGAAUGAAGAACAACCACUAGUAUAAGCUCUUGAAUCACCAAAGUUUCUACCUUGUUCAAAUCACCUUCCUAGCUUAUAUGAAGAACCAAGGAAAGAAGCAAGUGUGGAGAGUUUUCGUGGAGCAACAAUGGAAGAAGCUAGCUGAAUUUUUUGGGGAGGAAAUGGGGGAGGGGAGUCUGCCAAGGUGAGGAGAAGAAGAGAAGGGUUUUGGGUGGUAGUUGGUGAUUUCAUUGAAUGACAAGAAUAAUGACAUAAAGGUGUUCUUGACCCAAAAGUCAACAAUCGUUUAGUGAGCAAUUAGUGCUCCUAAUUGAGUUUAAUUUAACUCACUCACCUCUAAUCUCUCAAUUAAUUUUUCUUAGUUUACUAUUGAUCAUCCUUAAUUCUCCAAGAUUAAUGUACUCUCGGUCCGAAUUUGCCUCAAAAAACGUGCAUUCGCUAUUUCUCACUAAACAAGCCAAAGAAAAAUUAAAUUCGCUAACGAAACUUUUUAAAAAUAUAAAUGAGACAUUGUUCCAUGUAAAUGGAUUUAAAAUGGAUGAAAUAAAUUAUUUGGAGUAAAUGGGUAAAUAAAUAAUUAAAUAAGCCAGUAAAAUAAAAAUAAAAGUAAGUAAAAUAAAAAUUCGGGUCCUCACAUAUACUCAAUCGCGACUCGUACACUUGGAAAAAAUCGCGUGUGGGGUAUUUAGAAUUUAUAAAUGUAAAAUUUGACUGUAGAAUGAGUUUAUUGUUAUAUGUGUACCCCGCGCUGGUCAACUAUGAAUCAACCAAUAAUUCUUUUAGAGCAAUGGAAUAACUGUAAUAAGCAUGUUCACCCUAGAGGUUUUAUUAUCUUUUUUUUCCCCAAAGAUUGCAAAUGGCAAAGAUUUUUUUUCUUCGAAAGUACUUGAUUUAAAUGAAUAUCUUACUUGAAGCAAUGGGCUAAUAAAGAGACGUGUACAUUAUUUGACAUGAAAUUAUAUAGUUACAGGACAUUUUACUACAUCGUGCUCCCACUAACAAAUUGAUUAUGGUGUGGAAGAAAGAAUUUAUCAUACAUAUACUUCAUUGCUAGAAAUCUGAAAAUUUUAUUAGAUGGAAGAUGGUGCAUCUCCAACAAUUGUCGAAGAAGAAAAGAUGGUAGAGAAGAUUUCCAUAUACGUCUGAUGUAGAACAAGCAUUCCCGGCGAAUAAUUGAGCAGCCACUUUUGGAUCCCUAGGAUGUCCAAUUGGCCUCACAAGUCCCAAGUAAUAAAAUUCUAUAGAUUAACAAAGAUACCAUCUACCAGAAGUCCAAUUGGCUGAUAUUUUUAAGCAUAUGUUGAUGAUGUAUGUGUGUUAAUUACAAAGAUACUGCACGAUUUUAUUUUUAUUUUUGCUUUUUUAGCAGGGAAUUUUUUUUUUUAAUUUCUUUUCUAACAGGGGAGGGGUAGGAUUCAAAAAGCAGAAAGGAGGAAGGGAGGUUAGAAUCCAGGACCUCUAAUUUCUAAGUGCCUCAAUUUUAGUCACUAAACCUUGGUGGAUUUAUGUAAUGCAUUAGUAGGAAUUUGUUUUAGAACUUUUUCCUUGAAAUCAAGUUGCUUCUGCCGUGCAUUAUGUGCUAGUGUGUUAGCAAAGAUAACUUAAUAUAUUAUUAUAUAAAAAAAAAGAUAACUUAAUAUAUAUUUUUUAAUCUUUCUAUCUCUCCUUACACUCUUUCCAUCUCUAAUCGUCAGGUAUCAAAAUCAAAUCAUUUUACCAUCACAUCCCUCCCCACACUCUUUUCACCACAACUAUCAAAUAUAAACUUCGAACCUCGAACCUCACAGAGAGAACUCUAAAAAUUUAGCUUUUUUAUUUUUGUACCUCUUUUUGUUUCCUGUUUUCACAAGAUUGUUCUAUGAUUGAGGGUAUUUAUGGUAACAGACAGGUACUAUAUUUUGGCGGAUGGCUGAUUGCCCUACUUGUAAUAAAACAACUUAAAAGAGGAACAGAAAUCAAGAUGCUAAUUUUUGCCCACUGGACAACAUUGAGAUUUCCAUUUUGCAAAUUUAAAAGAAUUAGCAUUUUUUAGUAUCCGUUAGCACAUUUAAGGUAGACCUAACAUAUGACGUCAAUACACACAAUUACAAUUAGGGUUAAUUUCACAUACCUCCCCGAAAGUUUUUGACAAUUGCAGAAAGCUCCCCUCGAGUUCUAAAAAUUACACCUACCUCCCAUAUUUUCACUACUUAAGUAACAUUUUAACCCCAAAAGGCUAUACUUUUUCUCAAAAUUCCUAUAAUGCCCUUGAGUUACAAUUCACAAUAAAAAUGUAAAGGAAAAAAAUGGUUCACAGUCUCUAUUUCGUUUAUCUUUACUUGCUAUCACUAUUACCUACCCAUCAAUAUCCAAAUCACUAUUAAAUAAAUACUUAUCUUUGUUUUAAUGUUUCUCUUUUACCUAAAAAUUUAUAAUGUAGACAAUUGUAUCAACUAUAAACGCUAUAUCAGAUACCCAAAAACUUAUCUACCAUCUCAUGUCAAUAUCAGAUUUUACUCAAUACACAACAAUAUUCAUCAAUAUCCCUAAAUUUCAAUUCUAUGGCUGUCACCUUUUUAAUACAAAAUAAUUUAACUCAUCACUACUAAUGUCAAUAUCCAAUAUAUUCCAUUAGCACGGAGCUCAAAAUCAAUCAAAUUCUCUUUAUAGGAAUAAUAUCAAUAAUUGUAAAUCAAAAAUAGAAAUACAAUGUAGUUAUAAAUAUAUACCAAGAACAUUUUUUUUUCAUGACAACCAUAACAGCAUAACCUAUAUUUAGUUUCUAUCCCACUUCCUAUCCUUAAUUUUUAUUUUUUUUUAUUACUGUAACUAUCUUCAUCUCUAUCUAGUUUGAUAAUGAAAUUUGCACUCAAUUUGUCAUUUGACAAUUGCAAUUUGCUAAUGCCUAUCAAAAAUUGGAAACAAAAAUGGGCCCAAAGAAACUAUUUAAUAAUAAUGAAAAAUCGAGAAUUGGGAAUAGAUACCAAAAUAUGCAAGUAUUGGUGGUUUGUGUGUACGGUGAUUUUAUUAGUAACGAUAGUACAUAUUUGGUUAAUAAUAAUAAAUAAAUAAGUUUGAAAGGAAAAUAGAUAUAGGAGGAAGAGCAUAGAUAGUUAAAUAGGAAAGACUGUAGUUUGAAUUAUUGGUUGAUAAUAGAUGAGAGAACUUUAAUAUUUGAUAGAGUUUUUCAAUGAUUUGACAAUUAAUGAAAGGCAUUUUUGUCAUUUUAUUACACUAAGGGAGGUCUCCGUAAUUAUGUACAUCUCAAGAGAGCCAAGUGAAAUUGUUAAAAACCUCAGGGGAGGUUUCUGAAAUUAUCCCUUACAAUUAUUGCACUCCUAUAUUAAUAUGCUUUCUUAAAUUAGCUACACUUUUUUAACAAAACUAAUAUCUCCGCUCUUAUUCAGUGCCUUGUGCUCGUAUUUGAAAUCGUGGAACCUGCUUGUAUGAAUUUUUACAAUGUCAAUGUAUAAUAAAUUAAUCAUAAUUAAAAUGCUAUAGUUCAAGGAACAAAGUAGAUUUUUUUCCCUUUUUUCGUAAGUGGGAGGUUUUGAAUUCAAGAUCUUCUACUUUACAAUUUUUCCUACCUCACUGGUCGACCCAGACACCUCCCCCCCCCCAACCAACACCACCACCACCAAAACCCCAACAAGGAACAAAGUAGUUUAUUCUGAAUAACAAGAACUAUAAAGGGUUUUUGGUCAAAUUUAAUACUAGAACAAGUUUAAAAGCCAAUGGCUUGGAGUAAUUUUAAAUUCAAUCUUAUAAACGGUUGCCCAAAACACAUGGGAUAAAACCCGUAUAAUAAGAUACUUGAUCAUUAAUCCUGGAAUCUACCAAAAUUUAAUUCAAGCAAAACUUCUACAACUUAUAUUUAAAUGCCAAUAAAAUCUGAUAUAGAAUACUUCAAAUCAAUUGCAAUAUCCAAUGCAUGAAAUCAAUGAAUUAAGCCUAAUUUGCUGGAUCCCACAAUGGCAGCCGGUGGCGAAUCAGGAUGACGGUAGCAGCAUCGAUGGGUAUUGGGCUGCAAACAGGGGGCACAUGAGAUAUUACGUCGACCGUGAUUUUCAUAGUUGCAUUGGUUGAUGCAGUCGAGUCCGUCAUUGCUUCCCUAAAAAAAAAAAAAAAAAAAUCUGUUAUUGCAUGUUCCCACGUAUGUGGGAUUGCUGCUCUCUUCUGCUUUGCUGUCUGCAUCAACCACAAUACGAACUUUUUAAUAGGGUUGAUUAUACGUUAUACAAAUAAUAAUGUCAAAUUUUCAUAUGAAUAAACAGGUACAAAAAAAGAAAUACUGGCCUUGUUUGGAUCACAGUUUUCUAAAAAAAAAAAUUUAUAUUUUUAUAAACAUAUUUUUUAAUCACUUUUUUACUUCACAUAUAUCAAAUUAUUACAUUAUUUUUUUUUAAUAAAAGCUCUUAUAAUUAGCCAAUCCAAACAGGAGCUAAGGAUCUUGAUUCUUUUGGAGCUGCUAUUAGGUUUAUGCUCCGGUGCAAAUCUAACCAAACUUGAGAUUUCUGCUUAACUAUUUUCUUUCUUUCUUUCUUCAUUAUUUUCUACUUAACUAUUUGAUAAAAAUUCAAUAACUUCAUUUUCUCAUUAUUUUCUUAUUAUUUUCUUUCUUCCUUCAUUAUUUUCUACUUAACUAUUUGACAAAAAUCCAAUAAUUUCAUUUUCGUAGUUCUAGGCCUUGUUUCAUUUGAUAUCAUUUGCUGUCGACAAAGCUAUUUGAAGUAUGAAGCUCAUAAUAAUCUUUCCAGUCUACACAUUCAUUUUUUUUUCUAAGUUACUAUUUAUCUUGCUUCCACUAGCUAUGUAAUUUAAUCAUGAACUUGUAACCUUGCACACUUCAAAUGUUUUUGCAGGCUUGAAUGGAUGAAUUCACAUGGUUCAUCACAUGGUUCAGUCGAACACUUAUCAGCAACUAGUCAUGUUGUCAAUUGCCUGGCCCGCCUGAAUAAAGAAAUAGGAAGCCUAUGCAUAGACACCAAAGAUGACUUCCAAGUGCAAAUGUCUGAUGACAAGAAUGGAAAAUUGCUUGUGUUUUGCUCAUUAGACAAUGUAUUCUUUUUUAUUAUUUUCCAUAAAGUGAAAUUUUCCAAAAGUUGGUUUUAAUAAGCAUAUUGAUAUUAUAUUAAUAAGCAUAUAGCUAUUUCAUGCAAGAAAUCAUGGGUAUAGUUAGAGGUGGCAAUAUGGAUAAAUGGUUCAUAAUUGGUUUUGACUUAAUGGAUGGUGGAUGAAAUUCAUCCAUUAAAUAAAAACCAAUUAUCCAUUUAAAUAUUUUGGUAACUUUUUUUUUUUGGGUCAUAUCCUCGGUAUGCAGUAGCCACUUUGGACCCUGACUAAUCCGGAGUUGAGCCAGGUUGCACCCCAUAAGAGGCGCAAGCUCUCCCAGCACCUGUCUCUCCAUUCACAAGACUUGAACCUGAAACCUUGCUUAAGGGGAGCCAAGCGCCUUGCCAGUCAAACCAAGUACAGCACUUGGCCUAACAGCAAGGGUGGUCCCUCUCGUUUCUUAACAUCAGAUGAAACUUUCAUCAUGAAAGCAUUUCCUUAAAUGCAUGCCACAAUAGCACAAGACAGAAACAUGGUUUUUAAGUAAAUGGAUAUGUUUGGUUUUUGUGGAUAAUCCAUAUAAAUCCAUUUAAUUAAUGGUUUUACUGUGGUCAACCAUUUAAAACCAAUACUAUAAAUGAAUAAUCCAAAUCCAUUUAAUUAUGGAUUAUAUGGAUGGAUAAAUGGAUCUCAAUCCAAAUUGCCACAUCUAGGUAUAGUUAUCAUUCACCUUCUAUUGAUUUAUCUUACCAAGAAUUUAAAUUAAGGUUAUUAUUUAUCAGAAAUAAAUGUUCUUAGAAUGUUUGUUGUGAAUAAGCAUGUUCAUGAUAUAUAUAUAUAUAUAUAAGCCACUUAUGGAUAUAGCAUGUUUGCUAUAUAUUACUAAAAUUUCUGCAUCACACAGUGAAAUUAGUCCUUUGGCUUAUAUCUGAUUCAUGUCGAUUUUCAGUGUAUGGAUAAUAGAAGAAUUUGAGUUUUGGAGAAGUAAUACGUAAAUGGCUACCACCCAUGGGACCUCAUUGGGAUCAAUCAUCAUGUAUCCAGAUAAAGCUAACAUCCCAAGAGGUGAGAAGUCAAAUUGAUUUGAAUUAUGAACACAAUGUUGUCAUUCCGUUUUUUUUUUUUUUUAAACAAAAACUGAUAGCUGACCUUUCCACUAUCAAGUAAUAUGUUUGGAGCUCUCUCCUGGUAUAUACAUGCUUACCUAUUCGAAGGAGGGAAGGUUAUUUUAAGGCAAGUCCAGUGGCGCAGCUGGAUUUAUGCUUAAUACUAAGGAGAAGUUUGAACAUUUUCACCAAUUAUCCGCAAAGGGUGUGCAAUUUUGCAUUAGGAUUUUGAAUAUUUUCGCUUUUUUAUUAUUUAUUGUCACUCGAGAACACUUUCACUUGUUAUCCUCAAAAGGCAUGCUUGAUUUUUUUUUUAUUUUUAUAAAAGGAAGAGCAUUGGAAAGAAAAUAAAAGGAGAGAGAAAAAAGGAACAAAGAAAAUUGGCAUUUUGAAUAGUUCUUUCCGAAAAUUUUUUGUAUCCUUUAAGGAGUAAACUUUAUCAGCUACUUAUGGUCACGUGUUUUUUACUGUGCAUAUUUUUCUUGUGUGUGUGGGCACACCAGUAUAUAUGAUGUAUUAGAUUAAAGAGGAAAUAUAGUGGUUAAGGUUGAGAUUUCAGAAUUUAAAAGUUCUGGAAUCUAAUCCUCCUUUCCAAUUCCCAUCUUUUAAAUUCCAUUCCUUUCCUGCUAGAGAUAAUUUUUUUUAAAAAAAGAAAGACAUAACAAAAAUGUGUUCAUAUGGCUCAUUUCGCCUUUUCCAUUCCGUAUUUCCAGCAUUUUAAGGAAUUCACGGCAGAUCAUAUCUUCAAAUUUAUUUUGUUUAGAUUAAGAAAGAAAGUUUUCUCUGCAUUUUCUUCCAUGAACAGGGAACAAAAAUUGUACUUCAACAACCACAAAAAGUAAGACACAUUUGAAGCUCCAAAAGAAGUUGGAAAGAGCUCUGUUUAGAAUGAGAUAAUUGAUUUCCGUCAGUGACAGAUGCCGACUUCACUCGAAAAGCGACGUAAAGAAUCAUGUGGCCAGUAUUUCAUUGGAUUUGCAGGCUAAUCCAGCAGCCUUUACAGUGAAGUUACAUGUAUGUAUCUCAUAUUUCUGUAAUUAUUUAUUAAAGUGAAAUGUCUAUAUUAUUUAUUUUAGGGUUAAAUGCAAAAAAUCCCUACAAACUAUAUACCGAGUUGCAGUUUACCCCCUAAAUUAUAAUAAUAGGCAUUUUGUCCCCUUCAAUGAUGUGUUUGGACAAAUCUACCCCUUUUAUUUUAAGCAUUGUUAUUUUUCUUUUUACCCUUCCAUUUUCUUUUUAAAUUCUUUCUUAUUUUUCUUUAAACAUUGUUUGAAUAAGUAGACUAGAUUAGUCAAAAUUUGUUUAUUUCUUAAUUUUGUAUGUCAAUAUUUUAUAAAAAAAAAUCUAUGGAAUACAAGAUUUUUUUUCCAAAUGUUGAAGUCAAUGUCAUUUAAGAAAUUGAACUUUUCAAAUAUAUAAUAACAAAAUAGAGAAAUUGAUUAAUCAAUUAUUAGUAGUAUCAACAACAGAAAAGAUGAACUACUAUUGUUGUUUAUUCUUAUUUUUUAUUUCACUACAAAUAACAAUUGCUAACUUUUCUUUUUUAUGUGAUAUAUACUAUGUUACUUUUGUUAUAAGUAGUUGAGUAACUGUGAACUCUUAAUUAGUUUAUAGGUACUUCAAUUGUUGAAUUACUAGAUUAAUACACUUUACAAUGUAAGCUACAUAUAUUUUGUAAUAACAAAGAGUUUAUGACAAAUUAUUAAGAAUGAAUUUAACAAAUAAACAAAUUAAAAAAGCAGUUUAAAAAAUAUUAAAAUUUUUGAUGUUAGUCUUUUCACAUUGGAGAGAGAUGUUGACUAGUUCCAAGAGAGAAGGAGUUUAUGACAAAUUAUUAAGAAUGAAUUUAACAAAUAAACAAAUUAAAAAAGCAGUUUAAAAAAUAUUAAAAUGUUUGAUGUAAGUCUUUUCACAUCGGAGAGAGAUGUUGACUAGUUCCAAGAGAGAAGGAGAACAAAAAGAAAAUAAAAGGAAAAAAAUGGAAAAAGCUAACAGAGAAAAAAAAGAAGAAAGGGUUUAAGAUAGAGGGAUAGCAUUGUCCAAACAUAUCAUUCAAGGGGACAAAAUGCCUAUUAUUAUAGUUUAAGGAGUAAACUGCAACUGGGUAUAUAAUUUAUGGGGAUUUUUUGCAUUUAUUUUAAACAUAUAUACUAAUUAGUUUUUAUUUUUUUGAGUUCGAUUAAGUUCAAACUUGAGCUUGAACUCAAGUACAAGUUUUGCAGAAUUUUACAUAGAAAGUUCAUUAAAUUCGAAGAUAAAAUUAGAUCGAAUUCGAUUUGAUUGGAUCAAAACUGAACUUGAGCCGUCCCAUUUGCUGCCAUUAUAACUGUCAGAUAUGACAUGUACUCAACUGGGCACGUAGAAAGCUUUUUUGUUUGAAGAAACGGAUAUGAAAAGUUACAUAAAAGAACUAGUACAAAUACAGCAGUCAAAUAGUACAAAUACAUCAGGGAAUAAAUCCAAAGAAUGAUAAAAUUCUAGCAGAGGGACAGUGAGAGAGUUUGUAUCGAUGGAAACUUGAUAGCGAUCGUCAAUUAAUAAUAAUAUUCACACUUGAGGAGAAAUGUCGUAGUGAGUAGCAGCCAUGCCAUUGGGUAGUUAGGCUUUAAUAGGCUCUUGCUCUUAUUGGAUGAUUUCUCCAUCUUUGAUGUCCUUUGCCUCCUUGGACUUAAAUUACUUUUUCUGAAACCACUAUCGGUCCAUCCUUUAGAUAAUGAGUGUAUGGUUGGGAAUAUUUGGAUUGAGUUAACUUUAGGCCUUCCUUAUCUAACACAGGGGUAUCUGGGGGUAGCGGUCUGGGACUGGAUACCUGACACCGCCAUUAACCCCAACUAAUCCCACUGCGCCUGAGAGAGCGGGCCCCACCGAAUCAUCAGGAAUUUACCCCGGCUGCCCGAGCUCGGAAUCGAACCCAGGCCCUUCUCACUCAAUGGAGCUACAAGGACCGCCCGAGCAAACCGUGGGGGGCCCUUCCUUUCUAUUAUCAACACUUCAUCUCACGCCCCACCAUGUUAGGUCACUCUGAGGUGUGUCUUAAUUUCUUAAGAUUGUUUGACAAAAAAUAAAAAAAUAAAAAAAGUGUUGUUUCAUGAAGUAAUUAAACUUUUUUGUUUUAACUUGAAAUUUUGGAAGAAGAAAAGUUUUUUCUCUCGAACAUAUAUGGGGCAAUUCUCAUGAUGUUUAAAUAUGAAGGAAACUAAACCAAAUUUUCAAAGGUGUUACGAAAAUCAACUGGAAAGAAAAAGAAAAGGAACAGUGCAGUGGAUAUAAUAAAUGCAACCUACAUUUAAGAGUGACAAAUAACUAAUUAAUCUCCUUACUCAAUAGCAACUCAACUCAAGACAAUCUCAACCAAAAGAGGGGUACAAGAUUAGUAUAAGAUUAUCAUACAGAGAAGAGAUUAGUAUAAAAUUACAUCUCCUAAAUAUGUCAAUCUAUCCAAUCCCUACAAAAAUUUUUCAAAAAAAUCGAUGCUUAGUUUAAAACUUUAAAUGUUUUUCAUCUUGUCAAUGUUCCUUAAUAAUAUGGCACAGCAACAAUAUUUUACAUAUUCUACGGGCACAUUUUCAACCAUCAAGGAUUUAUCGUAGCGCUUGCAUCAAUCAAAACCACACUAUACUAUACAUUUGACUGUACUAUAAGAAACAAAAAAAAAGACAGAGAGAUAAAGAAGAACGACACAGCAUACCAGACUCUUGAGUCCUCUGAAAUGAAUAUCUUAGGUUCAAGCCUCAAGGUUGGUUUGUUGAUUAAAAAACCUUACCGUCCAGUGGGAUUCAGAAUCUCAGAGAAAACACUGUCACACCUUGAAGUUGUCACUGCUUGCCGUGGAUGUCCAAGUUGUAAUACCACCAUCUCAAUCUUGCCAGCAGAAUCUUGAUCGCCUUCUGAUUCAGAAAUCACAUCUGUAUCAUCAUCGGUCAUAUUUUGCACAUCUCCUCCAUGCAUAUGCAAGGGAAAUGGAUCAGGUCGACCACCCUCAUUUUCAGCUGCCUCCUGGACUUGCAAUGCAAAUUCAAGGCCACCAACUACAUCAUCCAUUCCCGGUCGUUGAAUCCCUUGAUCGUUCAAACAAUUAAUGGCCGUUUCAGCAAAAAUCCUCAAACAUUGGGGAGCAAUCUCGCCCUUUACAUCUGGGUCCACAAGUCGAUGGAUAAUCCGUUUUGUGUAACACUUCUUGGCCCAUUCAGCCAAAUUCACCUGCUCCUGGGGUAAGUCUAGAAUAAUAGGUGCCCGACCACACAAAACUUCAAACAAAACCACCCCGAAUGAGUAUACAUCAGACUUGUCCGUCAAUUGCUGUCUCGUGUAGUACUCCGGAUCUAUGUAGCCGAAACUCCCCUUGACCUGCGUGCUGAUAUGGCUGUAAAUCCCACUCGGACCGAGUUUGGAUAAUCCAAAAUCCGAAACUUUGGCCACCCAUGUCUCGUCCAAUAAUAUGUUGGUUGACUUGACAUCGCGGUGAAUGAUAGUGUGCUUGGUGCCCGUGUGGAGAUAAUCCAACCCUUUGGCGGCGCCAAUGCAGAUUUGAAGGCGUUGUUUCCAUGGGAGCGGUGGAUUGUCUGUUCUAUAGAGAUGAUCGCGGAGGGUCCCAUUAGCCAUAAAAUCGUAAACCAAGAUCAUCUCACCCUUUUCAUCACAGUAGCCUAUCAAAGAAACCAAAUGAAGAUGUCUUAAAUUUGAUAGCAACUCGAUCUCGGUUUGGAAUUCGCGGGCACCCUGUCUUGAUGAAGGAUUUAAUCGCUUUAUCGCAACCGUGGUUAGAUUGUUGUCUAUGUACCCUUUGUACACGUUUCCAAAUCCCCCGGUCCCAACCACAAACUUGGCAUCGAAGUUGGCAGUAGCGGAUCUAAUCUCUUCCAACAAAAAUCUCCUAAGCGACGAUGAACCUGAAGCUCCAGUCUUUGUUGACCUUGGUGGGGUUGAAAGUGGGGUGCAAGAUGACUUUGGAGCACUUUUCUGGUCCAAGUCUUUUACCCUUCUCUUCCAUCGCCACCGGAAAAUUAAGAAACCAAGGAUUAAAAUCACUUAAACCCCUCCUGCCGCCCCUCCUCCAAUGGCAGCAAACAGUACCCGAGGUUUUCCGGGACUCCCCUUAAUCGGUGACUUCUUGUUUGAUGCCAGAGAAUUGGGAUCCUUCGAUAGAUUUGGAUUGGUCCCGCCAAGACUGCCGUCGGAGGUAUUCAAUUUGAACAAUUCUAAGCCAUUCAAGAUUGCAUCGGCAUAUUUUGGUUUGACGUCAAGAUUUGGGUGCAGAGCAAGAAACAAGUCUUGCUUGGUCCAGUGACUCUCUGGUGGCUUUGGAACGAACAAGAGGUAAUCUCUGAAAAUCGGGAUUCCUGGGCCGCCUGCCCAAUGUAUAAUAUCAGCUUCUAGCUCAGCUGUUCUGUUACUGAUAAAUAUUUUGAACACCCGUUGGUUAUCCUGUGUAAUCAAAUCGGGAUCAAUCUCACAAAAAUGCAACCUCAUGAGAUAAUAAAACCCAGAAUCAACAGGAAACAUCCAGCUCAAGUUGAAGCGGGUGCUGAACUCUCCCAUCGCCCUGGCAGUAGAAUAAACAACUGGGGGGGCGGUGUAAUUUGGGGUCUGUGGAGUGUACUUGAUGGCAAUUUCAUUAUUGCUCAGUGGAUUUCCUAGAUCUGCGCCCCAGAGGAAUUCGUCAUCCGGAGCCCAUUCGCGAAACAUCCCACCAUCGUCCACCACAGAAACAACACUACCUCCUACGUUGAGCCUGUAAAGAGUUUCAAAGGCACUCUUAUCCUGAUCAAACCCGAACUGGACAUUUGCGAAUUUGAGGGGAUUGCUGUACAUAUCAUGGUUGCCCAUGUAGAUAUCGUCCUGGGUUGAAACAACUUCAAAUUCCAUUAAGGAAAGCGUAGGAAUUUGAUAAGGGAAAAAAGGUAACAUUAAGGAGUUGAUUCAUAUCCUGAACAUUGAUGAUAUAUUCUUUUUUAACAACAGAGGCCGGUGAGAAUCCCUUGGUAGAAACUGUGAGAUAUGGGCUAAAGUUGCUGAGAAGGGUGUAGCUAUUAGCUGUGACAGUGAAGAAAGAUUCAGCCGGGUUGAGGCCGCUAGAGUUUGAGACAGCGUGGAAGUAAAGGCGGAGGAACUUCCUGCCAAGGCUGACAGGGAAGAUGUAAGAGAAUUGAGAACGGAUGAUUCGGGCACUUGAAAAAGGGACUUCGCUGACUGAGGAGUUGAAUUCAGUAGCUGUGACUGCUAUUGAAAUAUUUGCCAUGUCGUUCGGUGAGAAUUUUGAGCCCACGUCGCCGUCCCAUUUCCGGCCAUCGACUGAGGUUGAAUUCAAGGAUGAGCCGCAGUUGAUCAGGAUAUAAUCUGUGGGGGUGUAAGACGGAGUGCUGUCCGUGGAAGCGAUGACGAACAACGAAUUGAAGAGAAAGCAGAGGUAUACAAGAAAAGUGAACAUUGGAGCAAAGACUUGAAGGGAAAAAAUAAACAAGAAAAGGUAUAUUUUUUCGGCUCAAAUGCUAACUCAAUUUUCUGAUGGAAAAAUUGGUCGUUUUUCCAUUGACGCGUAGGAUUAGGAUUUCGCCAUUUGUCUUUAAGAAAUGUUGUGGAAUUUAAAAUCCCCAAUUCAGGUGAAGAAGGAAACGUUAGUAGAUGGCAGUCUAUCGUGGCCUUGUUAAGUUGGAAAAGUCAAUUAAGACCGCCACAAAUUGUGACAUUUUUGUGGGAGACAGGGAUUGAAUCCCUGACCUCCAGCAUCACCUUUAAUGGUGAUGACCACCGGAUCAAAUGCCCAGUGCCUUGGAAAAGUCAUGUCGUUGGGCAGAUUUAAUGCGUCAUGUCAUUGGGCCAAUAAAAUGCACGCGUAUAGAUUUAUUCUCCCAAAUAAAGCUGACGUAAGCAGCUACACCAUGGCAAAUAAUUAAUUGCACUUCUCUCUUUUUAAUUACAAGCAGAAGCCAUCAAGAGUUGCAUUUAAUCGGGGUUUUCUUGAUCUAAGCUUACAUGAUUAAUCGAUGGUUAUGUAACCUAGAAUUAUGGAGCAAAAUUGGCUUAGAAGUAUGAUGCAUUCUCUUGGUAAUUUAAUUUUAUUUUUCAGAAAUGAUCCAAAUUUUCACUUUUCAAACCAUGCAAAACUUGCUUUAAAUUUUGAAAACAUACCAAUAUCGUUCCAUAAUCCAAUUUCGACCAAGUUUCUGGCAAAAUCGAAAAAUGGAAAAACAUGCGCAUUAUAUCAAAUUUCGACCAAAUUUCAACCACAUGCGCAUUAUAUCAGGUGCAAAAUGGAAAAACGAAAUUCUUCCCAAUCAAAACUAAAACAGAAAAUGAUGAAUUUCAUCCCCUUAUAUUUUUGCAAAAUAUUUUUUUCCAUCGCACAUAUUUAAAGCUUGUAAAAUCUAUACCCUUACAAGUUGAAGAUGUACUACUAAUUUCCUCCAAAAAAAUGAGUUUUUAUCAACUUUUAGGUAAAGGGUAGCAUACCCUAGUUUAGGUUUGCAAACGGAUCAAACCGUUCGUGAGCUGCUCGAGUUAAAAAUCGACUCAAGUUUAGUUGAUAUCGAACUCAAUUCGAGCUUGAGGUGACCAAGUCAAACUCGAGUUCAAAGAUACUUAGUUCAUUAAUACGCGAGUCAACUCAAUUAUAUAAAUAUUUAUAUUAAUAGUAAAAUUAUAUAUAUAUUUCUAAUAUUUUAUUAUUUGUUAAAAAAUUAUUAUUUUAUUCAUUUUUUAAAAUAUAAAAUAAUUUUUAUUUUUUAACCAUGAGCUCGAGCUCGAGCUGUUACAUUGAGAGUUCGCCGAGGUCAAACUCGAAUUCGAGUUUGAUAAAACUAAGUUAAAAUUCGACUCAAUUAGACCAAAACUCAAUUCGAGUCGAUUUGUUUGCAACUCUAACCUAGCUACAUUACAAUAUUUCAAGGCUGUUAAUCAACUGAAUGACCAAAGCAAAAGCAAAUAGCGAAUUAAACCUCGUUGCUUCGCUGACGGAUCAAUGUUUCAUUAUUUGAAGGAAAUAGUAAUGCAUAGCCACCAAGCCAGAAAAAUUCGACUGCAAAUUGUUGAUGUAGUAAUUUAUAAAAGCUAGAUAAAAUUCUUCUAUGUUUCAAUGAUGUUUACUUUUUUUUUGGCUUGCUCUACUUUUAUACAGCUCUCAUCUGUUGUGUUAUCAACAGAUUCAUAGACGAAUUUGUCCUGUUCCAUGGGCUUGAUUAUAUUUUCUUCAAAUAAUCAACAUGCAAUAACUAGUGAAGCAACGAGAAUCUAGUGCGACAUCUACUUUUGUCUUCGUCACUUGGUUGACUAAUAGGCCUUGAGAUGAUUUACAAUUGAUUUAGAUUUGGUUUUGGGAUGAAAUUGGUACAUGUUCAAAAUGACAGGGAUGGUUUUGCAUUCUUUUAAAUGUGAUGGAUGAAAGAAAAUAUUUUCAAAUAUGUGAGGGACAAAGUUGGCCAUUUCCUCAUUUAAUUUUAAAGGGGAAGAGUUUUACCUUUCGAUUUUGCCCCUAAUAUAUUAAGCGCGUGAUUGGGGUAUGAAAUUCUUAGCUGGAGAGUUGAUCGAAUUUGAUUUUGUGGGACUAAAGUGGUAUAUUUCCAAAAUAUAAGCAUUAUUUUAUGAAUUAAUCUUCUAUACACUGACAACGUAUACACUUUCAUCGUUAGAUGUAUGACAUGUAAUCCGAAUUUGAAUUUGAAAUUCGAAUUUUACAUAUGUGUCGUAUAUCCAAUCAUGAUAGUAUAUACAUCGUUAGUGUAUAAAAAAUUUACUCUUAUUUUAUAUGAUUGUAAGUGUGGGGCAUGAAAAAAUCUUUGCUGAAAAAAUAAGGGACUAAUUGGGUCUUUUUUUUUUUAUUUUCGGCCUGGUACAAAAAUCUUUUUACCAUAGCUGUGAGAAUGAAAUAGAACAGCAAAUAAGGACUUGAUUGGAUUUACAUUUCAUUGAUCAGAACUUGAUUUUGGGGUGCAGAGAUGCUGAGAACAUCCAUGAUAAUUUAGCAAGAAAGAAGGAAUAAGGACACAGAAGUUUUCUCCUUUCUAGUGGUGGGGUUAAAUUCUUAUAAUUUCUUAUCAUCCUCGAGCAAGUCUUUUGAGCAACGUUACUUAUUUUAAAUUCAAAUGAUCGUCAUUUUUAGAGGACAAUUGUAAGUUAUCUUUGAAAUUACAAUGACUAAAAUUAUCUUUUUCUAUCGAAAAAAAUAUCAAAUUAUACUGUAAACAUUAAAAAUUAUUAUGCAUAUCUUGGUUCAGGUGCUCAUUUCCCUUUAUCAUACAAUGAAAAGGAAUGGUCUGUCGCUUCGGAACAUCCAAUAAAAUUGGAAUGGUACAGAGAAGAUUUGCAAAGACUGUGCAAGGGUGACACAAAAAAUGAGAAAAAAAUGAGAAUGGGUAUUAGUUAAUGCACUUGAUUUAUACCAAUGAUUCCAAUGUGAAAGCACGUACUUACCCUCCUUGUCCUUCUUGAAUUUAAACACUUUCCUUGUUUAAUUUUAAUUUACUAAAUAGCUUGCGCAUGAGACCUCUCUUGAUGGGUCCAAGUGAUGAAUCCAUACUUAGGUUCAUACCUUAGAUUUUCAUAUAGGAGAUUUCUAACGAGUGCCUAUACAACUAAAUCAUACCUAAUUAGCUACAUAAAUUCACACAUUAACAAUUAUUAUCCUAUUUUACAUUUAUAUAUUUUUUCUAAUUAAUAUUAUUUUUUUCAAAAUAUGAACACGUGAAAUCCAUUGGACAUUCGUUUGACAGACUCUUUCAUAUAUAACCAUUCUACUCUAAAUAAAUAACCUGUGAUCAUUAAAGAUUGAACCGAAAUUCAAAUUAAAUAAAAUAUUUUUAUUGAUUAAAUGCUAGUCAGAUUGAUUGCAAAUUCAAGCAUCACAAUAGGCAGACCUUUCUGGGAUCUACAGCUUCUUUUAUCUUGGACCAUGCACAAUGCAGCAGCAUUGAAGACCACUAAAUCCCGGAACGCAUAAAACAUUAUUGAUGUGCAAGUCCACGUAGCCACACUGCUCGAUGCAAUCAAGUCUUGUGGUGCAUGUACCAACAAACUUGCAAUCGCUAUACGGUCCAUCAUCGUCGUCGUUAAUCUCUGCAACAAUAUAUAUAUACCAAUUCACCGUUGAAUUAUUACUUAAUUCUAUACCCAAUCCAAAAGCAAUUAAAAUCUUAUAAUACUCAAAAUUAAAAUCAAAGGCUCGAUUGAUUUGUGAUCUCCACUUUCGAGUUUCUAUCAACGUAUGAUACAGCUUAGAUAGAAGCAUUACCAUUAGAAUAUCCAGAAAGAAGAAGAGUCAUGAGGAUGAGUGAAACCAAUUGAACCCUUCUUGAUGCCAUUGUGCUGUAUGUUGAUGCCAAACCAAUAUGAACAGCAAAUACAACAGAACUACCCUUGCCUAUUUAUAACGAAUGAUAUUGAUAAUUAGAAACGUGUCAUCACCUAUGUGGUUCAGAUUUAGGUUCAGGUUGACCUGUGUACACACUUUGACAAAUGGCUUAUCCGUAUAUUAAAGCUUUUGAAAAUCCGAUUCAUCAUCUUAGAGUGAGACAAUUCGCAGAUUAAUUGGCUAUUGUCGUUUUUUGCUUGAGUGGUUUUUGAUGUGGAACCGUUUCUAAAUGAAACUGAUAGAAGACCAACUUUCAAAAAAGAUUUACCAACCGUUUGGUUGGUGGGUUUUCUACUCUUCAAUGGGUAUAGAAAGUGCUUUAUACCCAUAGAUGAUGUUUGAUAUACUUCUAUGGGUAUUGUUCAAUCACAAUCAAAAAGCCAAAAGUAGGUAAUGGUCAUUACUGACCAAUUUGUGGGGGAAUGAACCCCAUUGACGAAUUUAACACUAAAUGGCAUAAGAAAAAUACAAAAAAGAAUGAAGAUACGGCUAUCUGUCCAUAGCGACGCCAGUCUUUCUUUCUUCUUGUACUCUUUCUUUUCCCCUUUUUUCCUUUUCUUUUUGUAUUUUUGUAAGCAUACUCAUGUUCCUUCCUUUCCUUUAUUCUCUCCUCCAAUCUUUUUCUUUCUCUUUUCUCUUGAUGGCCAGUAGUAGGUGGCGGUGGUGUUGGUGUCCAUUGUUGCUUGGGUGAAGCUUUUUUUUUCUGGCAAUUAUUGUAACUUUGACAAACUUUUCUUUAUGAAACCUUAACACCCUUAAUCUUGUGAUUUGCAGGCAAAACAUAGCAUCAACUUGUGUGUGUGUGGUUUUUUGUUUUUUGGUCUUCAAGAUUUUAAGUUUCACUCCAUGUGUUAUUGGACAAUUUGAUGUCAAAUUAAUUUUAAAUUUAACUUCUCCAAAGUGAGAUGAUUGUUUUGAUAGUCAUUUGGCUUAUAAAUUUUUUGAACUUGCCACGUUGGUGGACUUGCCACGUUGGUGGUGAUGGUGGUUGAAGGUGGUUGGGGUUUAGUAUUGGAACUUAGGAAGAAGAAGGGGAAAUGAAAAAAAAUAAAAAAAUUUGAAAACCCAUUCCUUUUGAUUACAAUACCAAACAAUCAAUAAGGUUUUGGUAAUACUCAUUGCCAUUGAAGAAUUUUUGAUAGCCAUUUCUAUUGCUAUUCCGUAGUGUAUGCCAAACAGCUGGUUAGAUAUGGCAACCAACCCGCUCGGGUAGGAGAAAUGAGGCAGGGGUGGGAGUGGGGGAUUUUUCUUACCCCGCCUCAAAUGGGGCAAGGGAUGGGGGAACAUACCAUGCUCCAUCCCUCGUUUAAAUUUUGACGUAGUAUAACAUCUAUGUAUGUUUAUGUAUAUAUAUAUAUACACACACAACUAGAAGGAAUCAGGCUGUGCAAGCAUAGCUUAGCCCUACCAAUAAAAUUCUGGUUAAAAUGCAUCACAUCAUAAUUUGCUUUCAAAUAAGGAGCAAUUACAAUUCCUAAAAAAUGAGCCUAAAAAAUAAGGUUUAUUUUUAGCAGAAUGUUCCCAAAGUUUGCUCCAACUUGCUUAUUGUAAUGUAGUAGAGAUAUAUUGUUGUAUUGUAUGGACAAAUAACAAUAAAGAAUUUAAAAACCAAACACAUGAAAAAUGCAAAACCAGUUCAAUGUUAACAUAAAUGGUAUAUGCUUCAUAAAACUCAAACAUCAUGCUAUUAUAAUUACAAAUGCAUAAAAUUUCACCACUAUUUCUUUUCAAACAAGACACCAUCAAGUAAAAAUUCCCAUCCUACAAUUUCACAAUAAAACUUGGAAGAAAUUGAAAUGGAAGGUUUUUCAAUGCAUAAAAAGGGUACAAAAAUUUAGUACCAAAGAAUUACUAGAUGAAGUGCUAGAUUCAAUUAUGCAUUGAAAAGGAACUAAAACAUCAGAAAUGCAAAACACAAAUUUUGCAUUUAGAUUCAAGACAAAUCUCACAAAAGGAGAAUUGCCUUGCAGAACCAAAAUAAUUGAAGGCUUAAUGAAUCAAGGAGAUCAAGCCAAAAUAAAUAAAUACAUCAUGGUAACAGGAUAAAGAAACUAUACUGAGAACUUGAAUAGUUGGGAUAGAUCAAAAGUGGGGAUUGAAGGUUGGAGGCAUAUUGUAAUUGCAUCAUCAAAAUACCACAAUUGGUAUAUUUAAACUUUUUCAUGGAGAGCACCACAAAACAGAGUUAUCUUCAUUUAAUUUUGGUUCGAAAUUUUAGUCCAGCUGAAAACUGUCUUUUCAAAAUUUUCCCUGUUUAGACCAGAGAAUUACCAAAUUAGUCGACUCAAUUUUUUUAAGUAGGAGAGGGGUGGAAUUUGCGAACGGGGAGGGGGAAGACGGGAAUUGAAUCCAAGACCUUUAGUUCGUGGGUCUAAUCUUAGCUACUAGACUAUCUCAACAGUCAACUCAAUUUAUUAUACAUGCUUGAUCAAUUCAGUUUAGUCUCAUGAAGUUUCUUCAGCUUACAGUAAUAUUUGUAUUGCAUUAUGACUUGAGUAUUGGAUUUUGUGUUUGGCUACUCCAUUGAUGCAUGAUGGUCAAUCAUCGUUUGAUCAUCAUCAAUGGUGUUCUAUCUCUGCGUCUUCAUGGUUUACUUCAUCAUUUACUGUAUUAAAUUGCACUGCUAGUUAUUGCCUAGAGCAAUAUACACAAACUGUUCUAUUUGCUCAUCGGAUUUCAGUUUUCGACUUUAGGGCUUUAUCCGCAUUGAUCGUUUUGAUCCUAAAACAUGGAUCAUACCUGGUGAUAACUCUAGAACCUACACACUGGAGAAAGAGCAGCUUUCACCUAGCAGAACUAUUUAUGACAGGAAGAAGAGGAUGAUUGAAAUGAAGACCGUUGCUGAUGUAAUUGAGGCCCUCAUUGGUGUAUUCCUUUGCUCUACCAGUGAAAUAGCAGCCUUAGCGUUUAUGGAGUGGCUUGGUAUUGAAGUUGACUCUAUUUAUGUGCCUUACAUAAGGCCACUCCCUGCAAAUCCAGGGGAGGUGGUCGAUCUCAGAUUUUUCGAGACUCGUUUGAAUCAAUACUCAUUCCAUGAUGCUUCUCUCCUUGUUGAAGCACUUACUCAUGGUUCAUACAAGCGACCUGAGAACCCCAGAUGCUAUAAGGUAAUCUCUGCCCUUGCUUUUUCUCAUGUUGUUAUAACGGUAAACCAUUCUACUUGUUUUUUGAACAAUUUAUGAUCUUGUUGGGAAUGUCUUCAGUAUUUCCUCUGUUUUAUUUUCUCAACUUGAUUGUGCAUAGGCAUGUUUUUUUGUUAUGUCAAACUUUGAUUUCCUGCAAAAUUGUGAAGCACUUAAAUCUCAUCUACUGAAAUAUCUUUUUGGUUGCUCGUCCGGCUUUAGUAUUUUUCCCAGUAUUCAUUUUAGUGGUUCAAGAUAUAUAUAUUGCACCAAAAGAGAAGCUGUUUGAUGUGUAUGGUGAUAUUAUUUGCUUGCAGAGAUCAGCUUUUUGAAGUCUAGUGCCAUAUUUCAUACUACAAGAAGUGGUAUUAGUUGUACUUUUUUGGUCGAAUUGAUUAGUUACUUACAGGUUCGCUAGAUCAUUCGAGUCUAUUUGAAUUACCAUAUGUAUUUCGGAGCCACCAGAUUAUUACUUGUUUAGUUGAUAAUAGCCCUGGAGAUAUAUGUCUUUCCGCACACGAUUACUUGAUUAAGUGCAAAACUAUGUCUGUUGGGAAAAUUUACAUAGGAGGGGUUUGCAUGCUCUGGUUCUUCAAUGGCUAGAUUGCUUACAUGAUCCUUAUAUCAUGCACUAGUUUGAAUUUGUCAAUAGUUCCAUACUGCAGAAGAUAUCACUGGCAUGCCUUCCAGCAAAGAUAUUAUUGUGGAUCUUGCAGAAAAGUAUGAAGAAUCGCAGAAAUCUUGCAGAAAAGCUUAUUGUGGAUUAAGUCGACAGCAAAAUUGACAACUGGUCCUUGAAUUCUUCUGCAGCUGUAGAAUUUCUGCCAUAUUAGCGGUCAUAUGAAGCCAUCCAAGAAAAUAUCCAAGUGAACUUAAAUGUUUCCAAUAAUUUAGAAUUGGAAUAAGCUUGUGAUAUUUUUCUCCUCAUUAACAUAAAUUUCAUAUACAAGAUCAAAGAAAUUAGCCCAAUUGCAUGCAAAUAUAGAUUUUUUUUGACGUCUUUUUCUUUUAUCAACUGGACGAUUAUACACCGGAAUAGUCAAUUUGAACUCAACUUGAUACUAUAAAUGAAUUUUAAUUCUUAUUCGAAUUCAACCUCAAGUUCGUUGAAAAUCGAACUGGAAUCAAGGCUAAACUAUUAGUUAAGGGCUUGAUUCAUCUAUAGCCCUAAUGGGGACUUUAGCAUAACAUGACUAUUGUACCCUCUUUUUAUGUAAUUGGUGCGUGGUGCAACAGCAUCUUAAAUAAUGUUUAUGGAGGCAAAAUGACUAGCUUAUCCUCCAAUGUAACCAUCAAUUUUUUCAUUAGCAUAAAAGAGGUAGCCCAUCAGUUUAAAAAUCAGUGGAAACCUGUAAUUUCUAAUAAAAACUCGUUGAAAUAAUAGGUCUCAUUCAAAUCAAUAAUUGAAUCAUGUUUAAGACAAUUUCAAUGUGUAAUAGGGAGUUUUUGGCUAAAAUAACCUACUUUUCAAAAAAUAAUCCAAAGUAAUGCUCUUUCAGUUUUUAUUCCCUUGUUAAUCUAGUCAUUGCCACAUAGGCUCCCUAUCAAAGGAAAAGAAUCACUUGUAGAUCUUUCCUUCCAUUUAUUACAUGAUUUUUCUUUGUUUGGUGCCCCAAGGACAUUCUAUAAGCAAAUUGAAAAAGGAAAGUGGGUUUAGAAUUAGUGCUUCAAAAGUAUCGACCACCUCCUAAAUUGCAAAUUUGCAGAGGAACUUCUUUUCCUACAUAGCAUUAUUUUUUAUCAUAAUAUUACAAGUUCCUCUCUUUUUUCUUGUAACAUGCAAUUUUAUAUAUGCCGGUCUCCUAACUUUGUACAUUUUAAGAAGUUUGUAAAAAUUCAAAUUGUUUGACACGUGAGUAAUCAUUUCAAGAUAUGUGAUGAUCACAGUUUUUGUGAACAGCAAAAAUUCCACUAGAGAGGGAAAAGAUAAUUAACAAAAAAUUCUCUUGCAUUUUUGGACUCAUAACAAAAACCCUUUCAAAAAAAAGAGAGAAAAAAGAAUAUAACUAGGUCAUUAUUAGUACCCAAGUUAACACACUAUUAUAUAGGCCAAUCUAAUGUGAGAAAAUACUAAUUAACUCAAUAAUAGAUGAAGACAUGACUUUAUUUACCUUUGAGACUGCCAUAAGUAGUAAAAUUUAAACUGUUGAAAUGUCAUUAACAAUCGAUGCGGAUUGUGACUAUCAUAAAGAAAGAAUAUAAGAGGACAACGUGGCAACAAGUAAAUUAACAAAGGAAUAAAUUUUGAAAAUGCAAUAAUUUGGCAAUAAUUUCGAAGGAGAAUGUCAUUGUGAAAAUAAACUCGUGUAAUAGGUGAAGAAUCAGUUUUCUUGGCCGUUACAAGUGUAACUGAAGCCGCCUUCGAGUUCUUUUGCAUUUUUUGGGCAGUUUCUUUUGGAUAUAAUAACGGAAGUUAUUACUACUAAAGAUUGUUGGUUCAGCUGAUCGUAGUUUGCAUUUGGAGCAGCUGUUUGGAGAGGUAUGUUUAUUCUCUCUCUCUCUCUCUCUCUCUGCUGAGGAUUAGGUAUUUUUUAGAGUAUUUUUCAAAAAUUUGUUGUAAUAUUGUAUUUGAAAAUUGUUUUAAUAGAUGUAUUAGGGUGUUUUCAGGGGUAUUUUUUAGAUGUAUUUUAGGGUAUUUUUAGAAUUUAAAACAUUUAAGGUAUUUUUUAAAAGUUUAAACCACUGACUGCUACCACCAGCCGCUACCAUCCUCUCUCUCCUCCUUCCUCUUUUCUUUUCUCUCUUUCUCUUUCUCCCCCUCCUUCUUUCUCUCUCUUCUCCCCUUCCCCUCCUUCCUUCUCCCUCCUUUCCUCCCCUCCCUUCCCUUUUCCCGCCGGCACCCUUCCCCUCCCUCUCUCUCUCCCCCUCCGUGACUGGUCACAACCAAAGGGCCUCAACCAGAGAUUCAGAUCUAGUAGUAACUGGUCGCAAUCAGAAGCUAGUCGCGACCAUCUAAUCGAUGGCCGUGCACCAACAACCAGAUCUGAAGUGGAGGGGAAGGAGUUUCUGGCAUAGGGAAAGGGUAGGGAGAGGAGAGGAGGAGGGAGGGGAUGGUGGUAGUGGUGGUGGUAGGUGGCGAUGGCGGUGGUGGGUGGCGAAAGAAAAAGAAGUGAUAGAAUUAUUAUUAUUAUUAUUGUAUUUGUGAGUUGUUUUUUACGGAUUGAUGUUUUUUAAGUUAUUUUUAUUUGUUUAUUUCUGUAACAUUGUAUCUAAAAAAUUAGUUUUUAAAAGAUAGCAAUAUCCAAACAGAGCCAAAUCUUGUUCAGAUUCAUUUGUAGAUUUACAAAAUAUUGCAUUUUGAGUUUGCAAUUAUAGUGUUGUCUCAUUAGUUCUUUAGAUAUUGCACGAAUCCUUUAAUUUGAGUGCAAAAUUAAUGAUUCCCAUAAAAAUAUAAGAAUACUAUUAGAUAUUUAACCAAAAUUUUAAAAUUUUGAUGCUCCUGAUGGCAGAGGUUAUCGAUGCACUGCAAA